Molecule: long non-coding RNA, 72720 nt
Filed under: Capsicum annuum
Lineage: Eukaryota; Viridiplantae; Streptophyta; Magnoliopsida; Solanales; Solanaceae
Description: long non-coding RNA (CANN_LNC011743)
Source: RNAcentral
GUACCCAUUUAAAUACAAAUAUCACCCAUCUAUGCUUAAAGUUUCUUUUUUUUUAUUUUCUAGUUUCUUUUCUUCUUCUUUUUUCUUUAUUUUUUCCUUUAAUUUACUUUUUUUUCUUUUUCAUUUUUUUUAUUUUUUUACUCAUUCCUUAUAAUUUCUUUUUUCUUUCUCAUUUUUUCAUCUAUUUUCUUAUUUUUUUAUUUGUAUUUCUUUUUUCUUUGUAUUCUUUUUUUUUUUUCGCUUUUCCCUUUCUUAUUCUUAUUUCAUCAUUCGUAUUCGCUUCAGACCUACAUGAGUUAAUAAUAUAAGCUUCUAAUUAUCCCAUUUAGCCUAUGUAAUUCAUAACAUCUCUUAUCAAUUAAAUAUAAUCCACAGUCUCACUCCUUUAUUAUUAUUUUUUCUAUCUUUUAUUUCUCUUUCUUUUUUUUUCUUUUUUCUUUCUUUUUUCCUUUAAAUUACUAUUUUUUCUUUCCUAUUUCCUUUAAUUUACUUUUUUUUCUUUUUUAUUUUUUCCACUUAUUUUUUACUCGUUUCUUACACUUUUUUUCUUUCUUCUUUUUCAUCAUUUUUUUCUUUUUCAAUUUUAUUUCUUUGCAUUCUUUUUUUUUUUGUAUUUCUGUUCCCCUUUUUCAUUCUUGGUUCGUCAUUUUUGUCAUUUUUCUUAUUUUUUAUAUUCUUUUUCUCAUCUUUUUUUUUUAUCAUUGCAUUUUAUAUUUUUUUACUUUAAAUUUAUUUGUAUCAUACUAUAUAUUUCAAAUAAAUUUAUUAUUUGUAUUUGAAUAGUUUAGUUGUCAAUAUGUGCAAUUUAUCAUUUGUAUUUAUAUACAAAUAAGUAUAUGAAUUAAAAUCAACAUGAGUUAUGGUGCAGUGGAUGGGGCUGUUCCACGCUUAACCAGAGGUCGAGGGUACGACCCUGGUUAUGAAGAAAACUCUAUUGGGAGAAAAGCAAAAAGAAAAAAUAAUGAAAAAGGAGAAAAGGAAAAAGAAAAAAGAUGAUGGUGAAAACAAAUAUACUGAGUGGUUACGAUAUUUUAGUCAUCAUCCAUAAUUUGUACUCGACUUAAUCAUGUUUUUCGAAAUUCCACAUACUUCAAUAUGUUUAACAUGAAAUUUCUACAUGUUGAUUCGUUCUCCCACAUUUAAAUGCAUUUUUAUCAUGUUAAUACAUUUUUAAUAUUUUUAUUAAUUUCUUAUGUUCUCAUUAGUUUAUAACACUUAAUUGGUGAGAAUAAUUCCUUGGCAUAUUUACCACACUUUUGACACUCUCUUUUCACAACUUGACAACACAUUGUUACACACACAAAUCACAGUUGCAUUUUGUCAUACUAACACUUUGUCGUACUACCACUUGUUAAACAUUUAGAUAUCAUGCCUAUAGGAUUAAUUAUAUUAACAUAAAUAAUUGUGUCUUUGCUUGUUAAUCACAUUAAUCUCUUUAAUAACCAAGAGGCUAAUGUGAGACAUUACUUGCUACUUGACGUCCAAUGUGUUAUGCGUUUCGAGUCCUAAGCAACAUAGCUUUAUUUUGUCUAGACCACAAACCCAAAAUAGCAAAGUCCGAUGCCUCUUGGACAAUAGACGGGAUGAUACGAAUUACUAAAAACAUUAGUUUUAUCCUUGUACUAGAAUGCCUUUAGAUUUGACAUCCAACCUAGGUGGGGUGGGACGGGUAGUCAUUCAAAAAUGAUGAUCUUCAACAUACAUUAAAGGUAAGACAUAUGACUUGUUUAAGAGUUCGGCCAGUGGGUCGAAUGAUGAUUAAACAAGUUGGGGUUCUGAUCUGAAUGAGACCAAAUAUUUGGAGUAGUUGAUUUAUUAUAUAAGCAGUCCUCUUUUUAUUACAAAUUAUGUUAUUUCUUUCUCCUGGCUUGUCUUGUUAUAUGUGUUUACUAUUUUUAUCACUUAGAUAAUUAAAAUUAGAAAUAAUAAAAUAACAUGUUUUGUUCAUUAAUUGUUUUAUCACUUAGUUAAACAUUGAAUUAAUAAUAAAAUAAGAGACCUUUAUUUGAUCACCUAGAAUUCCCACGUAAAAUACAAAUUCGGUCGGGAACCACUUUUGUGGUCCUCAAAAGGUGCCUAACACCUUCCUUUCGAGAUAAUUUGAACCCUUACCUGAACUCUGGUGAACUAACACCUUCCUUUCAAAUCUCGCUUUUUGCGAGAAAAAUGGGGCGCGAUACCAGGUCCUCUAAAGCAAAACCAAAGACAACUUCUCCCAAGAAGUAGAGAAAGGUGUAUGAGGGACCUGGUCCCUUUGAAAGCGAGUCUGUCUGCCUUAAGGAUUGAGCACAUGUAUAAGAUUGUGCACGUUAAAGAAGAAAAAUAUGGAAUGCAUUAUGUCUAUUUUCAAAAUAGAGUGUUCAAUCAUUUUAAGAUUGUUUGUGAAAAGGACACUCCUGGUACUAUUAAGCAGAUGUUUACUCUAAACACACUAAUAGAGAAUGAGUGUGUUGAAGAAAAAGUUGGGAUCAAGUCUCAAGUUUCAGAGUUGAUUGAUGCCCAAGAAAAAUUAAGUAUGGAGAUGGAAGAAUUAAGACUGGAACUAGCUGCUAAGGAUGCAGAAAUUACUCGCCUCAAGUUGAGAGAUAACAGCUAUCAUGACCUGGUGCUUCAGAAGAACUGAAGACUGAAAAUACAGCAUUGAAGACACAAAUCAAUGCUUUGUCUGGAGAGGUCAAUUAUCUGAAUGCAGAAAUCAAGGACCUCACAAAGCAACUUUCGAACACUUACUCUACUGAGAAUGUCAAGAUGGCAAUGCUCUUUAGGUCUCUUUCCCCUAAACCUCCACCCUCUUAAGCCACUCUCCUUGUUACGUCAUCUCUUGAGUUAGUUUCCAUUGUGUUUCCCCUGUGUCCCUGUGCCUGAUCAGUUUAGUUCUUUAUGUUUUUGAAUGACAAUGUAUGGUAACUUUUCGAUUAUGAAAUGAAUGGAACCUUUUACUUGUGUCUAUUAUUUUUCUCUCCUUUAUGGUUGUCAUUCAUGUUAGUGAUGCCUCAAUGGCCACGAGUUAACUUAUUGUGCAUUUUAAUUAACUUGGAUUACUGUCUUUACUUUUUAUGAUGCCAAAAAGGGAAAGAUGAGUCAUUGAGGGGGGUAGAUUUCUUAAGAACCUGGUUUCAAAUGGAAUGAUCGGAGUGCAAUUGAUAGAGAGGAAUCGAUUUGAGAUUAGUUGAAAGGGGAAGUGUUGGAGAAAGGGGAAAAUAUUGGAGAAAAAAUCAGUUUGAGUUCUUGAAAAUGUGCUGAAGUGAGGGGGAAUUUGAGUGCUUUUCAUGAAUAUAGUUUGCCAUCAUAAAACAAAUGGGAAAUUGUUGUCCUAUGUUUUAAUGAUGACUACGAAACAUACUCAGGGACCAGGUUCGUUAUAUGCAUUACUGAUAACUGCUGAAGGAUAGUUGUACACUGUCGCACUCUACAUAGUUUUGUCCUGAAGCAUAAUUACUGUACAGGUGCACAGUGUACAACAAUGCACACCUGAUCCAAUCAAAUUCCAACUGAAAUUCUCACACAUUUAUAUAAGCAAAAGAAAUCAAUUUCAAUCAAUGAUUUUUGCAAUCUCAUUCUAUCAAAAGGCAGCAACAACUCUCGUGUUUGAGAUUCAGAAAUUCUCUUGUUCUUUAGUUUUGCUUAUCUUGAGUUAUGUUCUAGAAAGUGAUUUACUCUCGUGUUUGUGAGUAAAGUUUUUCUCUUUGUUUCAAUUGGUUGCUUAGGUAGAGUUAUUUAAGAAUGGUUAGUUAGAGCUAGUCGAUUAAGUGAAGAGUAAGACAAAGGGAUUUGUAGUAGAGGUAUUGCAAACCUUAAGGAGUUAGAGUUAAAUCCUGCUGGAGUCAGUAAUCAAAAGUUGUUUUGAUUAUAGUGGAGCUUGAGAAAGACUGUGAGAACAGGUUGUGGUUUUCCUCCCUUGAGUAAGGAGGUUUUCACUUAAAAAUCUUGUGUAUUGAUUUAUUUAAGACGGAAUACAUAUACAGGCCCCUGAACUAUUUCACUUUUCCCGUAUAGGCACCUCAAUUAAGUCAGGUACAUAUUGGACUCUUUACUCCUUCACAAAUGGUUUCAAUUGAGUGCAAUUUGCUGAUGUGGCAAAAAAUAUGAACUGCGUGUAAUACACACGCUGAUGAUGUGGCAAAGUAGCGAAUUAAAUAACGACAUGUGGCAUUUUAAUUUAAAAUAUUUAUAAAAAUAAUUUUUUAAUAAAAUUAAAUCUAAAUUAAAAAUAAAUAAACUAAUUAACCCCCCCCCCCCCACCCCCUCUCCUCCCAACACCCCCACCCCCUCACCCUCCCCCCUAAGCCCCCUUUGCAGAUUGAACAAGAAAGUAAAAAAAAACUAAAUUGUAUUUUAUUAAGGAAAAUUGAUGGUUAUUUUAUUCUAUUUCUUCAAUGUGUUUUUUAAAGAAGUCAUUAAUGGAGAAGAAGAUACUGAGAAGUCAUUAAUUAUGGUUUCUCACUCAAUUUAUAUAUGAAUGAUUUUAAAAGAAGCCAUUAAUGGUGAAGAAGAUAUGGAGAAGAAGAUGAUGCCUAUUUUUUUUAAUUUUUUUUUCCUUAUAAUGUGUUUUUUUAAUUGGUUGGGGAUUUUUAUGUUUAAUUUUGUUGAUUAAUUAUGCUUUGUCACUCAACUUAUAUGUGAAUGAUUUUUGAAGAAGCCAUUGAUUAGAUAGACGAUAUGGAGAAGAAGAUGAUGGUUAUUUUCUUUUUUUUUUUUUUUAAAAUUCUUUAAUGUAUUUUUUUUAAUUGGUUGGAAUUGCUUAUGUUUAAUUUUUUUUAAUUAAAAAUGAUUUCUCACCCUCCUUUAGGAGAGUGCAUUACACAUGUCACGCCAUGUUAGCGUCACGUCAGCAAUUGAGCUCAAUUGACACAUUUUGUGAAGGAGUUAAGGGUCCAAUAAGUAAAUAGUUUAAUUGAGGUGCUUAUGCGGAAAAAAUGAAAUAGUUAAGGGGCCUAAAUGAAAUAGUUAAGGGGCCUAUAUGUAUAUAUUUAGCCUUUAUUUAAUGUUUUUACUUUGAGUUCUUAUUUUUAUUAUUAUUUAUAACUCCUCAAGGGACCUGGUCCCCUAGUGGUGGUGAACCCUAACGAUUCAACAAAAUCAAAAUUAAAGGAGAUGAUGAAUGUCUUAUUAAUAAAUUCUGAUCUACCAUAAAAUUUUUGAGAGGAUUAAAUUCUUCAAGAAAACACAGAUUUUUAUAAUAGACUUAGAACUUCAUGUUUUUUCUGUCAAUUUUACUGGUUGUGAUUUUGCACGAAUAACACUAACCCCCUUUGACAUACGGGGAAAUGGAAAAGCAAACAGAACAAUGAUUGAUGAAAUAAGAACUCCACGUAAACCUCAGUAGUAAGAACUCGUCAUUUUGUCUUGUUCUACUUCAGUAUCAAGAUCAUGUUGGCGCAGUUAAUGUUCUUAACUCAUCUUAGUUCACAAUAAAUAUGGAGUGAACGGAACCAGUAAAAUUACGUGCUUUUCAAAUAUAUUCAAUUUCCUUCUAGUAAUGUUAGUAUUCAAUAUUUUCAACUAAUGCCUUACUUUUCCGCAAAUCCUGAUUAUUACUACUCCCUCCGUUCAGUUUUACUUAUCACAAAUUUUCUGAUUUUAUUUUUAGUUUUACUUAUUAUUUUUAACAUAUCAACAAAAGAUAAUUUCUUUUUUUUUCUUUUUUAUCCUUAGUAUUAAUUAUUUUUUCUCUAAAUCAAUUUCAACAUACAAUAUAAAUAUUAUUUAAUAGGGUAUUAUGGUAAAGUAACAAUCAUGUUAUUAAUUAUUUUUGUUAAUCAAUGUGUCAAGUUAAAUUGUGACAAGUAAAACUGAACGGAUGAAGUAUUUUGUAAAAUAUUUCAAAUUUAAUUAUCAACACAUUAUACAUUAAGGCGUGGCAUCUACACUGUUGAUUAAGAAAAAAUAAAAUACAAAAAUCGCCGACUCCAACCUCAGCCCCUUUCACGGUAUAUAUUACUAGUACUAUUUAUAAGGAAGAAUCUCAAAUUUUGGUAUUCCUUAUAAGGGUAUUUUCGGUAUUUUAUUUCUUUAGUUAAAUAAAUUAAGUUAUCACACAUGGCAAUUGAUGGUGUCUUUUUAUUAAAUAUUUUUAUUUUUUCCCUUAUUAUUUUUGUUAGAAUCAUUUUCACUUGUGUACUUGUAAUUGAUCUCUUCUUGCUACUAAUAGAUGACAUUUUAAUUAAAAUUCUAUUUUAAAUUAACAAUUACUUUUGCUCAAAAAAAAAUUAUUUUCAAAAUAAAUUUAAUACAAAAAUAAAGUUUGCAAUAAUUUUCAAUUAGAACCUUUAUAGUUCUUUUAGUAUUGUUCAAUUCUUAAAAAUCAUGUAAUAAAUAAGGUAACGUAAUAAAUAAUAAAUAAUACAUUAUUUUAAUUAUUUUUUAAUUAGUGAGCAUGAAAAAAGAUAAUCAAUAGUUAAAAGAAGAUGAAUAAAAUAAUCUUUUAUAGUGAAUGUAAAAGAUAAACACAACAAAUAAAUGAAUCGAAUGAAAUAAUUUGUUAAUUUAAUUUAAUUUAAUUAUUAUUUAAUAUCCUUAUAGAUCAUCAUUAAGUUAAUUUGAGUAGACUCUAAAUUUAGGUUGUAACUAUUCUUAUAUAUACUUGAAGUCAUUGAAAUAUUUUGUUAUAUAAGAAAUGAAAUUCGAUUUUUCAAAAAGUUUUGCCACAUUAAAUUAUGAAUGAAUUAAAACUCAAUAAAUACUAAAAUAAAUUUAUUUCUAUCUAUAAUUAAGAAGUUACGUAUCCAUAAAUUCAUAAAAAAUAAAUUUAUAUUUGUAAUCUUCACCGAAUUGUAAUUAUUAAAAUAUUCUAAAUCAUGUUAUUUUAUAAAAUAUUGAAUUACUUAUGUUUUUUUUAUUUAUUCUAAUUCUUCGGUAAUACUUCUUCCACACAAAUCAAAAUUUUAUUUAAAAAUAUUCAAUUAUUUGAUUAAUAACUUUAGUAAUUACAAAUUGACCCAAAGAAAACAUGUUUAACAUGUUCAUCACAAGAUUAUGUUAAUUAUAAAAUAAAAAUAGUAUGUUAUGAAUAUUUUAAGAUUUUAAUUAUUACUUUUAUAUUUUGAGUUUGGGCUCGGGCUUAGCACGGGCCUUGUGAAAUUAGUAGUUUGAUAAAGGGCAUAAUUCACAAAUAGCAUACGUAAGACCAUAAUUAUGAGAUUCAUAUCUUUUCAUAAUUACUUAAGGUAGCAACUUGUAUUUUGUAUUAUUACAAACUGUUGCUAUAAAAAUACAAAUACAAAUCAAUUUGCUAUCCAUAUUUAACUGAAAUCUGUUGAGAUAAAUAUUGUAUAAUUACCCUUGAAUUACAUGUGCAGAUUUAUUUUUCAUUUAAACCUCUUAAAUCACGUGAUUUCAGUUAUUUGUUAACAGCAGUAAUCAAAAUUCAAAUUCCAGUUUCAUAAUAACGUGUUCAUGCAAAAAAAAUCAAAAUCAAAAUCAAUUAAAGCUUUUUCUGUUCAAUAUCUUCGAAUUGAACAAUCAGAUUGAAUUUCAUCCAUUACUGUUGUUGAAUCAAAUUCGAAUGCAUCUUCUUCUGUUCAAUUUAUUCGAAUUCAACGAUCAGUUUUAAAUCGAACCAUGAAUGUUGUUGAAUCAAAUUCAACUAUAGCCUUUUUAGGAUAAUUUAUUCGAAUUCAACCAUCAGCUGCAAAUUCAACAAUCACUGUUGUUGAAGGUAUUUGAUCAUUGUAUUUUUAUCAUAUGAAUUUCAUCCGAUUUAAUGAAUUCGAUAAAAAAAUUGUUAUUAAUUUUUUUCCAGAAUCGUUAGAAUUAUUUCGUUUGAAUUUUUUUUAUUUAUUACUGAUGCAUUGUUCAAAUUUUUUAUGUUGUUGUUAAUUUAUUUUUGAAUAAUUUGUAAAUGAAUUUCGAGUAAAAAGUAAUGCAACAGUAAAUUGAAUUGAUAGAACAAAAUAGUGAUCGAAAUCAGUUUUUCAAGUUGAUCAAAUUCAAAUUUUUUGAAGUUUUGAGGGUUAAAAUUUGAGAGUAUAUUUGUAUUUCUAAAAGUUAGUUUAUAGAUAUUUUAGAUGUGUUCGAUUAUGGAGGUUGUUGCUUGAUUUUAGGACUAACGAUGAACAACUAAUGUGUAAUUGUAUUCUGGCUGGAAAAUUUGACUGUGUUUGUAUUUUAAGUUUAACAAAUAUUUUGUAAUUGUAUUUUCAGCUGGAGUUUUUGGUUGUGUAAGUAUAUAUUGUUUACGUUUAUAACUGUAUAAGUCUGUUUAAAUUUUUUUUUUUGUGUAAUUAUAUAUUGUAACUAUUGACAGUUUAAAGAUACACAUUUUUUUGUAAUUUAGGUGAAAUAAGUUAGCAAUGGCAAGAAUUCCAGUUCUCGUGAAGCACUCUGGAAGGUGGACGUAUGAACAAAACUACGAAGAGUACAUUACUAAUGCAAUGUUGUUGAGCACAAUAGCAUCAUACAAUGAACUACACAAUCUUUUGGCAUUUCACAUUAAUGGGUAUUUGAGCUGCAAACGUAUUCAAAUUGAAUAUCAAAUCACUGAUAAUGCAGGGCAAAUCCAAAUACAUAAUGAUAUGGAUUUAAAGGUAUUUAUUUUGCAAAAAAAAGAUAUACAAGACAUGAAUUGUUCACUGUUAAAUUAAUCAAUGUUCUCUUUUAUGCAGAAAAAUACAUAUGUAGUAACCAAUGUUCACUGUUAAAUACAUACGCAGUAAUCUAUGUUACUAAACAAAAUACAUCUGUAGUAAUUCAUAUGUAUAUUUAUGAGAUUUGUUGGUAUUAAAUCUAUUAUUGUAUUUAUAAUUACACAUAUGCAGUAAGCAUAAAAAAUACAUAUGUUGUUAGCAAUAUGUAUAUUUGUAUUUUGCUGUUGUGUUUCCAAAAAAAUAAAUAUACAUUUCGCAUCAUUUUGUAGCGUAUACAUUUACAUAUUUGUGUUUGACCUUUUUUAAUUUAACUUUUUAAAAAUAUUAUUAGGUUGUACCAAUUACAGAGUAUGUGUACACGAUGCAUGACAAAGAAAAACAUUUUAUUGCCUCAAGGAAAAAACACGUUCAUGUAACGUAUUUCAACUGGAGGAGAUACCAUGUGCACAUGCUUGUGCGAUCUUGGAUAGGAAGAAUCUCUUCAAGGGCCCAUAUUGUUGUGAUCUGUAUAAACCAAAAACAGUCUUGAAAACGUAUAAUGUUCCAAUCUAUCCUUUACCACACAAGGAUGACUGGAUAAUUCCAAAUAGCAUACUUGGUAAAAUAAUACUACCUCCGAAGUACAAACGACCCCCUGCAAAACCUGUAAAGAAGGAUCGUGGAAAAUUGGGAAGGGAUAUGUUUGGAAAGAAGAACAUCAACUCAUGCAGUAGUUAUGAAUCUAAGGGUCACAAUAGGCGUUCGUGUAGGAAAUAUCGUAAAUGGUACAUUUGUUCUUCUGUAUUCUUUCUUUAUAAUUUCUUUUACUCUUUUCAUAAUAAUGAACACUUUUGUUAAAUUUAUUUUGUGACGUUUAUCUAUCGUUUGCUAAAAUGCUUUAUAAAUGACUAUUAGGUAUACAUAACUAUAUUACUACAUUUGAAAGAUAAAAACAUAUACUUUUGCUGUGAAAAUACAUAUGUUAGUUAUAUGUAUUUCAAAUAUGGUGAACAAUACAUAUUUGUAAUAUGAAAUGCAUAUGCAUUUCACAUAAUUAUUUACAAAAGAUGUGUAUUCGAAAAUACAUUUGUCUAAAUGUAUUUGUUAAACUAUAUACUAUAACAACACGUGGUAAUCUAUAUAGUGUAUGGACAGGUAGUAAAAUAAAUAUAUGAAGCAGAUUAUGUAUUUGAUAUUAUAUGAUAAUACAGUAAAAUAGAUAUAUAAAGCAACAUAUGUAUUUGAAAUCAAAUGAAUAAAAAGUAAAAUACACAUGCUGUUAACUGCAUAUGUAUUUUAAAGUUUACUCUGAAAACUGCAUAUGUAUAUAUUGCAACUCUGCACAGUGCAUAUGUACUAAAAAACUACUACUAUAUUACCUAUGGAGUACUAUAUACUAGUAUUUCUUUUGCUUUCCCCAAUUCUCAUAUACAAAGUUGUCCAGAAAAUAGAAAAGGAAAAAACAAGACCAUUCCUUCAGUCAUCACAUAUAAUACAAAUCCUCCCUUCCCUCACCACAUCCACCUUCUUUUGUUUUUUUCUGGGCAUGUUCUUGAUUUUUUAUCAGCCACCCAACCUAAUUAUUAUUACCAUUUAUGACUUUGAAGUAGGACUUUGGAAUGAUGCUUUAAUCUGAACAGUGUACCAAAUCAUACUGAACACUGAAAUAAAACACAUACUAUGAGCUUAUAGAAAACAUAUUUAACAUAAAAAGAUUAAAAUGAAUAACCUACAUUCACUUCACAAUUAGUUACUUUGAUUCACUUCAAAACAUAAAAUAACUUUUUAAAAUUAAUAUCAACAUCCAGUUAAAUCUUGUCACUACAUAAUAUAAUAAAAUCAUCAACCAUCAGACUUCAAAUACUUUUGUGACACUUGUUAUCUUGCUUUUCCUAACAGGCCUCAAUGGUGCUUCGUCGUCACUUUGAGCUUUCAUAAAUUUAUUUUGGUGGUGGAUCCUGAAUCAACUGAACGUUCAUCAUCAACGCCAUCCUGCUCUAGUAGUUCAAACUUUGACAUUUCCCUUUGAGUUGACUCAAUGUUCUUAAAUACAACCUAGGAAUAUAGAAAAAAUAUAUUAAAGUAUCUGUUAAAAAAUUGUAACGCAAAUGUAUAUAUGUAGACUAUAAAAUACAUAUCUGGUCAAAAAUGAAGUCGUACCUAUUACCGACACAAAUACAAAUAUGUCCAUAACCACAAAUGUAUUUGUAUAUUUCAACAUUUCAAUAUAUUAAAAAUACAUAUCAAUUAUAAUAAAAUUACAUAUAGCCAAAUACCUCUUCAUGAGUAGUUAAUAUAUGAUACGGGACAAAACAAGGAAACACGAAAUCACACCCCAAAACAGUUCACAAAUCACAACAAAUCGCGGACCAAAUGGGGACCUCUUUCGGAUUCGACAAACACAACAAGAAUACUAGAUAUGUAGGUUUAUUUGACACCAAAAAUGUAACAUCUCAUAUUCAAGUACGUGUAUUGGCGUAUUCAAGUACGUGUAUUGGUCUUAUUUAUAUGGAAUUAAUUUUUUUAUUUUAUUUAUACCGGAAUUUGCCCGUCGAUGGUUCCAUGUGAAGGUUAUUGAAUAAGCUUUCCAAUGAUAUAAAGAUUUCCAAAAACGGAUAGGUUUCGGAUAUAAUCGAGCACAUUCAAAACUAUAAAACGGUGGCUGGGAUAUUUGGGAAUAGUAAAUGUGCCGGAAAAUUUCCUGCACACAAACUACUGAGGCCAAUAGAAUUUUUGGGUCAACUUCGAACGAUCAUAACUCCCUUAAUAUAAUAAACUGGGAGAUCUGAGACCUAUGAAAAGAAAUAUCUUUGAGUCUUCUUUCCAAUGCAAUUGGUUUCAUCCAAAUCCAAUGUCUGAGUAAGGAGUUAUACUUGUUUUACUUCAGCCUAUCAAAAAAAAAACAAAGGACAGAUUUGGCAUUAUUUAAAUUUUAAAGGCAUUUUGGUCAUUUCCUAUUAUAUUAUGGAUGGGAAUAUGUGUAUAUAUACAUGUAUAUGAGUUCAAAAACUCAUUUUCAUCAUCAAUCAUUGAGAAAGAACAAACCCUAGCCAAAUUUGACCUUUAAAUUACUUUUGAUUCAACCGUAGAAAUUCCAAAGUAAUCCGAUAACUGCGUUUGUCAUCUCGAGAGCUUCGAACGGCACCUAUUAUUUGUGAAAAUAGGAUUGCAUAAUCAAGAGGUGAAUUCUAAGGUAUGAAUAUUGUUUGCCUUUGUUCUCUUCCAUAUGUAUAUGUGUGAUAGAGGAUUAUAUGUAUUGGUUGUUAUUGAAAGGUGAUGAAAAUAGGGUUAUGGACUAUUUUGCAUGGUUUGGUUGUAUUGAAUUGUGGAAGGUGGAUAUGGUAAUUGAGUUAUGGAAGGUGGAUAUGGUGAUAUACUAUUGAAUUGAUGAUUAUUUAUGUCUAUGGCUCAAUUUGGUUUAAUGGAUUGGUUGGAAGGAUAAAUGAAUCCAAACUUGAUAUUGGAGGAUGUUGUAUGAAUAUGCAUGGCAUGUGAAUGUAAUUGGAGUAUAAGAGGGUUAAAGUGACACCCUUUAUGGUGUAAUUAAGGCUUACUACUUAACCACUAGUUUGGUGAAUUCAAAUAAUUGAAUUGUGACGUUUGGUCGCUAAUACUAGAUUGCUAUAUAUGUUCAUUGUAGAUAAGUAAUCCGAAAAGACGAGAAGUCCAUUUGGGACUAGUAUUGAAGGUUGACAGUCAGGUAUGUAAAGCAUACUCUAUACCAUAUCUUUGGCAUGAAAGUGAACAAUUGUUCUAUUAAGAAAGUUUCCAAAGUUAUUCAAUAACAUGUGAUCCAUAAUGGUUUUGUAUGAUGUCCUACGUUACCAAUGAACUUGUUUCCACCCUACAAGAUGUCAAGACAUUCCAAUACUUACUUGUUUUCCAAAUCUUACAUGUUUAUUGCACUAAUGAAUGUCAGAAGGUAUCUGGUUACUCAAAAAAGAUCCAUGUGCUAUUGAUGAAUCCAAAACGUUUCAUUGAUAUACCAAUAAGUUCCUACUUCAUUGUUAUGGUAUUGAUAACUCCAAAAUAUUUCAUUGAUGUGCCAAUGAGUUCUUACUUAAUGUGGUAUUGAUAACUCCAAAACAUUUCAUUGAUGUGCCAAUGAGUUCUUACUUCAUUGUCAUUGCAUUGAUGGUCUAUUUAUAUGUCUCUUAUUGAUGUAUCAUUGUUUCAAAGUAUCAAAAAUACGGUGGCAACCAAAAUAACAAUCUCAAAGAUUAAUUGAACUAAGUGAUGGAAGUUCUCUCUUAUCGGGUGGUAUCCCAGGGGCAUAAGCCUAUCAUGGGUCGAUCCCUAUUUAUGUAUUUAUGGGUGGUAUCCCAGGUGCAUAAUCCUAUCAUGGGUCGAUCCCAGUUGAUAUGUACUGGAGGCAGCUUAAUGGUCACAGUACAGUACAGUAAUGAUUACAAAGAUGAUAAGAACGAAGGUAAAGUGAUUGACUAAAUACAAUGUACCCGUGUCACAAGUUCUAGUAAGUGUGGUCCACUCCUAUUACGAUUUAUNNNNNNNNNNNNNNNNNNNNNNNNNNNNNNNNNNNNNNNNNNNNNNNNNNNNNNNNNNNNNNNNNNNNNNNNNNNNNNNNNNNNNNNNNNNNNNNNNNNNNNNNNNNNNNNNNNNNNNNNNNNNNNNNNNNNNNNNNNNNNNNNNNNNNNNNNNNNNNNNNNNNNNNNNNNNNNNNNNNNNNNNNNNNNNNNNNNNNNNNNNNNNNNNNNNNNNNNNNNNNNNNNNNNNNNNNNNNNNNNNNNNNNNNNNNNNNNNNNNNNNNNNNNNNNNNNNNNNNNNNNNNNNNNNNNNNNNNNNNNNNNNNNNNNNNNNNNNNNNNNNNNNNNNNNNNNNNNNNNNNNNNNNNNNNNNNNNNNNNNNNNNNNNNNNNNNNNNNNNNNNNNNNNNNNNNNNNNNNNNNNNNNNNNNNNNNNNNNNNNNNNNNNNNNNNNNNNNNNNNNNNNNNNNNNNNNNNNNNNNNNNNNNNNNNNNNNNNNNNNNNNNNNNNNNNNNNNNNNNNNNNNNNNNNNNNNNNNNNNNNNNNNNNNNNNNNNNNNNNNNNNNNNNNNNNNNNNNNNNNNNNNNNNNNNNNNNNNNNNNNNNNNNNNNNNNNNNNNNNNNNNNNNNNNNNNNNNNNNNNNNNNNNNNNNNNNNNNNNNNNNNNNNNNNNNNNNNNNNNNNNNNNNNNNNNNNNNNNNNNNNNNNNNNNNNNNNNNNNNNNNNNNNNNNNNNNNNNNNNNNNNNNNNNNNNNNNNNNNNNNNNNNNNNNNNNNNNNNNNNNNNNNNNNNNNNNNNNNNNNNNNNNNNNNNNNNNNNNNNNNNNNNNNNNNNNNNNNNNNNNNNNNNNNNNNNNNNNNNNNNNNNNNNNNNNNNNNNNNNNNNNNNNNNNNNNNNNNNNNNNNNNNNNNNNNNNNNNNNNNNNNNNNNNNNNNNNNNNNNNNNNNNNNNNNNNNNNNNNNNNNNNNNNNNNNNNNNNNNNNNNNNNNNNNNNNNNNNNNNNNNNNNNNNNNNNNNNNNNNNNNNNNNNNNNNNNNNNNNNNNNNNNNNNNNNNNNNNNNNNNNNNNNNNNNNNNNNNNNNNNNNNNNNNNNNNNNNNNNNNNNNNNNNNNNNNNNNNNNNNNNNNNNNNNNNNNNNNNNNNNNNNNNNNNNNNNNNNNNNNNNNNNNNNNNAGAACUAUAUCCCCAGAGCCACCUAUUAAUGCUGCUGAUCAAGAUCUUAGAAAUGCAGUGCAACUUUUGACUGGUAUAGUUGCUGGGCAAGCCAUUCCUACCACGGGUUCUAGUGGUGCAGAUUGGGAGGCUAGCCUUCGAACAUAGGAUUUUCUUAAGAUGGAUCCUCCUACUUUUACUGGAUCAGAUCUUAAUGAGGACCCACAGGACUUUAUUGAUCAAAUUCAAAGGGCCUUAGAUGUUAUGCAUGUAAUGGGUAGAGAGACAGUGGUGUUAGCGGCGUAUAGAUUUAAAGGAGAGGCUAUAUAUUGGUACGAGGACUGGAAAUGAUCUAGGGGUAUUGAUGCACCCCCAGCUACUUGGAAAGAGUUCAAAGAGGCAUUUCUUGAUCAUUAUCUUCCAUUCGUGUUUCGUCAGGCCUGUGCAAAUCAGUUUUUAAAUCUUCGUCAUGAGAAUAUGGGGGUGAGAGAGUACAGUCUCCGAUUUAAUUCCUUAUCGAGAUAUGCUCCUAAUGUUGUAGCUACUAUGGAUGACAGAGUUCAUUUAUAUAUGGAUAGGCUGGAUCCAUAUCUGGUUAGAGAUUGUACUAUUACCACUUUGAACAAAGAUAUGGACAUAGCGAGGAUCCAAGUUUUUACACAGAAAAUGGAAGAUCAGAGGCAGAGGAAAAGAACACAGGAAUUAGAAAGAGGAUAUUCCAAGAGGGCCAGAUCUACUGGGCAGUUCAUGAGAUUCCAAGAAGGGUUCAGACCACAGUUUUCUGCUAGACCACCUAGGCCAUUAUCUUUUUAUUCUGCAGCUAGUGCCCCACCACAGUUCCAAGGGUCCAGAGAAAAUCAAUUUGGGCACAAAAGUGAGAGUCAGAGUUCGCGGAUAGUGGGGUACAAGGGCAAGGGAAUAUGAGCCAAUCGAGACCUCCUCGAGAGCCAUACAAUAAAUAUGGAAGGUAUCAUUUGGGCGCAUGUUGACUGGGGACCAAUAUUUGCUUUUGGUGCGGUAUGUCGGGGCAUAUGAUGAGAGAACGCCCAUGAAGGGGCAUAGAGGGUAUGGCAUGACCUACGGGGUCAUUUAUUGCAUCAUCAUUAUCGAUGCCUUAUUCAGGAAGGGGUGCACAACCAAUGGGUCAUGUUAGAGGUGAUAGAGGAGCCACGAGUUCUAGCGAGGCUUAAAAUUGUAUGUAUGCUCUAGCGGAUCGACAGAAUUUAGAGGCUUCCCCAGAUGUGGUUACGGGUACGUUGUCUAUCUUUUCAUUUGAUGUAUAUGCCUUAAUUGAUCCUGACUCUACAUUAUCUUAUGUUACUCCAUUAGUUGCUGGAAAGUUCGAAAGAAUACCCGAACUAUUAAUUAAGCCAUUUGAAGUGUCCAGACUGGUUGGGGAAUCUAUUAUAGCUAGAAGGGUUUACCAAAACUGCAUAGUAAUUAUUUGUGGUCGUGAUAUGAUGGAUGAUCUUGUGGAGUUAGAAAUGGUAGAUUUUGAUGUUAUAAUGGGUAUGGACUGGUUGGCGUCUUGUUAUGCCACAAUUGAUUGCUGCACGAAAAAGGUAUAUUUCCAUUUUCCAAAUGAAUCAGUCCUUGAAUGGAAAGGUGAAAUUAGCGUGCCAAGAGGUAGAUUUAUUUCUUAUUUUAAGGCAAGAAGAAUGAUUUCCAAGGGAUACAUAUAUCAUUUAGUUAGAUCAAAGGAUACAGAAGUGGAGCCACCAACUCUUCACGCUAUUCUGGUGGUAAAUAAAUUUUCUGAUGUAUUUCUUGAAGAUCUUCCAGGUUUGCCUCUGAAAGAGAAGUAGAGUUUGGUAUUGAUGUAAUACCAGGUACCCAACCAAUCUCUAUUCCUCCGUAUAGAAUGGCCCAAGCAGAAUUAUGAGAAUUGAAAGAGCAAUUGAAAGAUUUUCUAGAGAAGGGAUUCAUAAGGCCUAGUUUAUCCCCCUGGGGAGCACCAGUGUUAUUUGUGUGCAAAAAUGGAUGUCUCACUGAGGAUAUGUGUUGAUUAUCGGCAAUUGAAUAAGGUGACUAUUAAGAAAAAAUAUCCUCUCCCAAGAAUUGAUAAUUUAUUUGAUUAGUUACAGGGUGCCAAGUGUUUUUCUAAGAUUGAUUUGAGGCCAGGUUACCACCAAGUGAGGGUCAAAGAGAAGGAUAUACCCAAGACAACUUUCCGAACACGGUAUGGUCAUUAUGAGUUUCUAGUUAUGUCAUUUGGGCUAACAAAUGCACCCGCAGCUUUUAUGGAUUUGAUGAAUAGGGUUUUUAAGCCAUUCCUGGAUGUAUUUGUGAUAGUUUUUAUAGAUGAUAUUCUAGUUUAUUCUAGAUCAGAAGAGGACCAUGCCAAUCACUUACGACAGGCAUUGCAGACUCUUCGUGAUUGUAAGCUUUAUGCAAAGUUCUCUAAAUGUGAGUUUUGGUUAAAGUCGGUGGCAUUUUUGGGUCAUAUUGUAUCUAGUGAAGAGAUAAAGGUUGAUGCUCAAAAGAUAGAAGCUGUGAAGAACUGGCCAAGGCCCACAACGCCUACGGAGAUUCGUAGUUUUCUCGGGUUGGCCGGUUAUUAUAGAAGGUUUGUUGAAGACUUUUCUUCCAUUUCAGUACCCUUAACUAAGCUAACCCAUAAAACAUCCAAAUUCCAAUGGAAUGAUGCCUGUGAUAAGAGUUUUCAAGAUUUAAAGAACAAGUUGAUUUCUACACCCGUGGUGGUACUUCCAGAAGGCACCGAAGGGUAUACAGUGUAUUGUGAUGCUUCCAGAAUUGGUUUAGGAUGUGUAUUGAUGCAGCAUGGUAAGGUAAUAGCAUAUGCUUCUAGACAAUUGCGGCCACAUGAGAAAAAUUAUCCUACACACGAUCUUGAGUUGGCAGCAGUUAUUUUUGCUUUAAAGAUAUGGCGCCACUACUUAUAUGGGGUUCAUGUUGAUAUAUAUACUGACCAUAAGAGCUUGCAAUAUAUUUUUAAUCAGAAGGAUCUAAAUUUAAGGCAGCGGAGAUGGCUUGAACUAUUAAAGGACUAUGAUGUUGAUAUCUUGUACCAUCCAGGGAAAGCAAAUGUGGUAGCUGAUGCGUUAAGUCGUAAGGCUAUGAUGGCGCCUAUAGAAAGGCAAGGGAUGGUUAAAGAUCUUCACCAGUUAGCUAGUUUGGGAGUUCGCCUUCUUGAAACUCCGAAUAAAGAGCUUAUCGUACAUAAUGCUGCGGAAUCUUCAUUAGUAGCUGAAGUGAAAGAGAAGCAAUAUGCAGAUCCUAUUUUAUUACAUCUUAAGGAGAACGUUCAGAGUGGUGCGACCAAGGCAUUUGAGCUUACGCGAGAAGGAGUACUUCAGUGCCAAAACCGAUUGUGUGUGCCGGAUAUAGACGGGCUAAGAAAGAAGAUUAUGACAGAGGCACAUUUUUCAAGGUAUUCCAUUCAUCCAGGAUCAACCAAAAUGUAUCAAGAUUUGAAAGAUAUGUAUUGGUGGAAUGACAUGAAGAAGAGCAUUGCAGAAUUUGUAGCUGAAUGUCCAAAUUGUCAAAGAGUUAAAGUUGAGCACCAAAAACCCGGAGGCUAUAUGCAAUGCAUAGAUCUUCCAAUUUGGAAGUGGGACAUGAUCAACAUGGAUUUUGUUACAGGUUUGCCUCGUACAGCUCGAAAAUUUGAUUCUAUAUGGGUGAUUGUGGAUAGGCUUACUAAAUCCGCACAUUUCUUACCCGUUAAGACCACUUACACAGUUGAAGAAUAUUCGAAGCUGUAUGUUAAAGAAAUAGUCCGAUUACAUGGAGUGCCAACUUCUAUUAUAUCGGAUCGGGGAACUCAAUUUACUGCAAACUUUUGGAAGUCUUUCCAACGGGGUUUGGGAACACAAGUGAAUCUGAGUACAGCUUUUCACCCUCAGACGGAUGGACAAGCAGAGCGCACCAUUCAAACACUUGAAGAUAUGCUACGAGCAUGUGUUAUAGAUUUUAAAGGCAGCUGGGAUGAUCAUUUACCUCUUAUUGAGUUUGCCUACAAUAAUAGCUAUCAUUCAAGUAUCAAAAUGGCACCAUAUGAAGCUUUAUAUGGGAGAAAGUGUAGAUCACCAAUAGGAUGGUUCGAAGCGGGUGAAACUCUUAUGUUCGGACCGGAUCUUGUGUAUCAAGCCAUAGAAAAAGUCAAGGUGAUUCAGCAACGGUUGAAAACAGCCCAAAGUCGACACAAGUCAUAUGCGGAUAGUAGAAGAAGAGGGCUAGAAUUUUCGUUAGGCGAUUGGGUAUUUUUGAAGGUAUCGCCAAUGAAAGGGGUGAUGAGAUUUGGCAAGAAAGGAAAGUUGAGUCCACGAUAUAUAGGCCCGUAUAAAAUUAUUCGAAGAUGUGGGCAAGUUGCUUAUGAAUUAGAUCUACCCCAGGAACUAUCAUCAGUGCAUCCAGUAUUUCAUGUAUCGAUGCUUCGAAAGUGCAUCGGAGAUCCGUCCCUUAUUACUUCUACUGAAGAUGUGCAAGUAACAGCAGAUCUUACCUAUGAGGAGAUGCCUAUUGCUAUAUUAGAUCGACAAGUUAAGAAGAUGAGAAAUAAAGAAGUAGCAUCGGUGAAAGUACUUUGGAGAAAUCAACAAAGGGAAGAGAUUACAUGGGAAGCUGAGGAAGCAAUGAAAUCUAAGUACCCUCAUUUGUUCAAAGAUGAAGAGGAAGUUCAAGAAACGGAGUUAGAACAUUAACAAGUAAGUUUUUGUUUAUAUAUGCAUAGUAUUUAUGUGAUGAUGUGAAUGUUAAUGGUGGACUUGAACUUGUUUCGGCUAAAUAACUACAUUCACAUUCGAGGACGAAUGUCCUUAAGGGGGGAAGGAUGUAACACCCCGUACUUAAUUACGUGCAUUAGUCAUUGUUAUAUGUGUUGGAGUAUAUGUAUUGAUCCUAAGUUAGGUAUAUAUGAGUUUAAGUAUGAGUAUUGAUUAUUUUGAGAUGGUUUCAAGUGUAUAGUUUGAUUAUAGGUGUAUAGGAAUCGACUUUAUUUAUAUCGGAAUUUUCAAUCCUCAGAGAUUACAUGGGAAGCUGAGGAAGCAAUGAAAUCUAAGUACCCUAAUUUGUUUAAAGAUGAAGAGGAAGUUCAAGAAAUAAAGUUAGAACAUUAACAAGUAAGUUUUUUUUAUAUAUGCAUAGUAUUUAUGUGAUGAUGUGAACAUUAAUGAUGGGAUUGAACUUGUUUCGGUUGAAUAACUACGCUAACAUUCGAGGACGAAUCUCCUAAAGGGUGGAAGGAUGUAGCACCCCGUAUUCAAGUACGUGUAUUGGUAUUAUUUAUAUGGAAUUGAUUUUUUUAUUUUAUUUAUACCGGAAUUUGCCCGUCGAUGGUUUCAUGCGAAGGUUAUUGAAUAAGCUUUCUAAUGAUAUAAAGAUUUCUAAAAACGGAUAGGUUUCGAAUAUAAUCGAGCACAUUCGAAACUAUAAAACGGUGGCCGGGAUGUUUGGGAAUAGUAAAUGUGCAGGAAAAUUUCCUGCACACAAACUACUGAGGCCAGCCAAAUUUUUGGGUCAACUUUGAACGAUCAUAACUCCCUUAAUAUAAUGAACUGGGAGAUUUGCGACCUAUGAAAAGAAAUGUCUUUGAGUCUUCUUUCCAAUGCAAUUGUUUUCAUCCAAAUCCAACGUCUGAGUAAGGAGUUACACUCGUUUACUUCAGCCUAUCAAAACAAAUUUUUAGGGUCAACUUCAAACUACCAUAACUCCUUGUACAAGACGAACUGGGUGGCCUACUAUAUAUGAAAUAAAAUCCCUUUGAAUUAUCCUUCCAAUGAUACAAAUUUCACCCAAAUCUGAUAUCGGAGCAAAGAGUUAUGGUCGAUCUACUUUAGCUUAUCAAAACAGUCCACCAAACAACAGAUUUGACAUUAUUUAAAUUUUAAAGGCAUUUUGGUCAUUUCCUAUUAUAUUAUGGACGGGAAUAUGUGUAUAUAUACAUGUAUAUGAGUUCAAAAACUCAUUUUCAUCAUCAAUCAUUGAGAAAGAACAAACCCUAGGCAAAUUUGACCUAUAAAUUACUUUUGAUUCAACCGUAGAAAUUCCAAAGUAAUCCGAUAACUGCGUUUGUCAUCUCGAGAGCUUCGAACAGCACCUAUUAUUUGUGCAAACAAGAUUGUAUAAUCAAAAGGUGAAUUCUAAGGUAUGAAUAUUGUUUGGCUUUGUUCUUUUCCAUAUGUAUAUGUGUGAUAGAGGAUUAUAUGUAUUGGUUGUUAUUGAAAAGUGCUGGAAAUAGGGUUAUGGACUGUUUUGCAUGGUUUGGUUGUAUUGAAUUGUGGAAGGUGGAUAUGGUGAUAUACUAUUGAGUUGAUGAUUAUUUAUGUCUAUUGUUCAAUUUGGUUUAAUGGAUUAUUAGAAGUAUAAAUGAAUCCAAACUUGAUAUUGGAGGGUAUUGUAUGAAUAUGCAUGACAUGUGAAUGUAAUUGGAGUAUAAGAUGGUUAAAGUGACACCCUUUAUGGUGUAAUUAAGGAUUACUACUUAACCACUAGUUUGGUGAAUUCAAAUAAUUGAAUUAUGACGUUUGGUUGCUAAUACUAUAUUGCUAUAUAUGUUUAUUGCAGAUAAGUAAUCUGAAAAGAUGGAAAGUCCAUUUGGGACUAGUAUUGAAGGUUGACAGUCAGGUAUGUAAAGCAUGUUCUAUACCAUAUCUUUGGAUUGAAAGUGAACAAUUGUUCUAUUAAGAAAGUUUUCAAAGUUAUUCAAUAACAUGUGAUCUAUAAUGGUUUUGUAUGAUGUCCUACGUUACCAAUGAACUUGUUUCCACCCUACAAGAUGUCAAGAUAUUCCAAUACUUACUUGUCUUCCAAAAAUAUUUAUAUGUCUCCUAUUGAUGUAUCAUUAUUUCAAAGUAUCAAAAAUACGGUGGCAACCGAAAUAACAAUCUCAAAGAUUAAUUGAACUAAGUGAUGGAAGUUCUCUCUUAUCGGGUGGUAUCCCAGGAGCAUAAGCCUAUCAUGUGUCAAUCCCUAUUUAUGUGUUUAUGGGUGGUAUCCCGGGGGCAUAAGCCUAUCAUGGGUCGAUCCUAGUUGAUAGGUACUGGAGGAAGCCUAAUGGUCACAGUACAGUACAAUAAUGAUUACAAAGAUGAUAAGAACGAAGGUAAAGUGAUUGAACAAAUACAAUGUACCGGUUGUCACAAGUUCUAGUAAGUGUGGUCCACUCCUAUUAUGAUUUAUUUACUUUUUUCUAAUUUCUAUUGAGCUCCUAUAACACAUGUGAUUAUCUAUAGCUUUACAUACUCAGUACAUAUUUCGUACUAACGAUCCCCAUGGGGGACCUGCAUUUCAUGCUGCAGGCACAUGUACCUCAGCUCAUACACCGCACAAGUAGAAGCCAGGAUAUCCAGCUGCUUUUGGUGAGCUCCAGUUUGCUUCGGGACUUUCCGUGUCAUAUCCAGUCACUUUUGGUAUUGUAUAGAAGCUAGUUAUAUGGCGGGGUGUGUCCCGACCUUAGUUAAACUCUGUGCAUUGUCUAGAGGCUCUAUAGACCUAAUGUACAGUCAAGGUGAUAUUUUGUUAAUAGACGUGAUGGGUCCAACGGCCAAGUAUUGUAUAUACAUAUAUAUGUGUGCUCGAGCUUAUACAGUUGAUUAUUUUCUUUUAUAUGCGACAUGAUGCUGUCCGAAUUUCGAGUAGUCAUAGAGGUAUGCAUGGGAAGUAUAAGGUUAUGAGUUGGUUCUCCCGAGCUUCCUCAGUUACGGGUGCCAGUCCGCCCCAAUAGGAUUUGAGACGUGACAAAAAACAGCUACAAUAACAAAAGAUAAUCAACAAUAUGGUAGAAAGAAAUAACACUAUGAUAAUAAGAACCAAAGGUUACAAGAUUACAAGAACAAUAAGAAACAAUGGUUCACUAGACAACACAAACUAAAACAUGAAAUGUAAAGAUAGGAAGUGAGACAUACACUACAAUAAGAUCCAAGAACCCAUAGACAUAUUCCAUCUAAGGACCCCUAGAAAUUACAAUAGCAACACCACACUCUUACAAAGACACGAGAAGGAUUCCACCGCUCAAGCACCAACGUUUCCAAGCAACACACAUUCACAAGUGUUUCCACACUUGUCAUGCCCCUAGUUUUUGGCCUAGAGAGCCUUCUCUCAAGUGUUCUUACAUCAAUAUUUAGCAACCAAAUGAAAUAAACCCUAACAUGUUCUAUUUAUAGACUUAUUACAAUAAUAGGUAAAAUGAUAAAAGUGCCCCUUAGUGUUAAAUGAACAAAAUGGAUCCCAUGGAGUGCAAUAGAGGGACGACUUUUGAGCCCUUUUCACACUCCAACUCAUACACUCCGUAGGUUGCAUUCAACACACUAAAAAAUAUCCAUCUUCAUGAUUGUACCCGUAUCAUCCUCUCCAUUUUGAGAGGAAUUUGACCUCAAAUUUACGGCACAAACCAAAUGAAAAUGGUUCCAAAACAGCCCACAAAAUAAGAAUAAAUCGAGAACAUAAUAACUUCAUUUUGAACCUCGGCUUUCUCUCCAUCUUGAGAUUUGCCUUCAAUCUCAUUCGGUUCAAUUGAGUUUAAUUCCCAGCCAAGAUAGCAUUAGGAACGUUGUUAUUCAUUGUCGCUAAGAAGUUACCUACAAAACACAAACAAAUUAGUUGUAUAAGAAAGGUCCUCACACUUUCUCUUUAUUUCUUUGCCUCUUGGAUUCCUCACACUUUAAUCCACAAGUGUUGUAAGCUUGCUUGUACUCCGUGAGGUGUUGAGAGGUGAACCAAACGUUUACAACAAAUCCAAAUAAUAAGAAAAUAAACACACAAGGACGUAAACACAAAGAACAAUUUCUGAAACCAACUCACAAUCUAGUAAAUGGUCACUAGUUUGUAAGUUGGUAUUGGAAUCAACAAACAAAACUGGAAAACAACAAAUUGAAACUUAAGAGAUGAAAAUUUAAGCUUAAAAUUUUCGUGUGAACAGUAAAUAAUAACGUGGCAGCUACGUAUUGGUUGUGGUUUUUAAACAAGUUGUUAUUUUUCAAUUUGGAAGUCUUGGUCAAUUUUCAAUUUGGAUGAUUGAGAUUUGGUUAAUGGAGGGAAACUACAAGUCUUGAAACUCUUUUCAAUUUUCAAACAAAAGUCUUGACUUGGCUAAUACUAUUCCCAUAAAAUAAGGUCCUUAAAUCGUGGAAGGUUGUUGGAAGUUGUUGUAAAAUCUUUGUUUUGUGUAGGAAAAGUCUUGAAAGAGCUUAAAACUUGGAAGAUUGUUGGAGAAGGCUUAAGUGUGGUUGAAAAAAGUCUUCAAGACUAACAACAAUACCACUCUCUUUCUUCUUAGUGUUAGGAUCAAACAACACAUUUUCUUCAACAAGCUAUGAAGGUGGUGAAGAACACCAAGAACACAACACUUGGAAUUCUAAGGUUCAUGUUGGGAUCACCAUCAUCAACAACACAUGUUCAACCUCAAAUCUCCAACAACAAAAAACAACCUAACGUCCAACUCCACAUCCAUAAUACAACACAUGGCCAAGCUUGAACAACAACAAUAUCACACGGCCACAACAAUGUUCACAACAACUACUUUCAAUAAGUUUAAGCUCAAGUUUAUAUCUAGACUAAAAAAUGUUAGUGAACAAGAAACUAACACUAGAAACGACAAAACAAACAAGAACACUACUAGAUCUAGACACACAACAAACAAAUCUCGGCCAAGACAACAAGAACACAAUUUUUGGCCAAGAAACCAAAAUGGACAGAUUUCAACUUUUCUAGAAUUUUUUUUUCAGUUUUUAGCUUUUUUUUUUCUCGAUUUUCUAAGUAACAAACCCAAGAUUGAUUUCGUAGGAACGAAAUCAAACUAGGCUUUGAUACCAAAUGAUACGGGACAAAACAAGGAAACAAGAAAUCACACCCCAAAGUAGUCCACAAAUCACAAUAAAUCACGGACCAAAUGGGGACCUCUCUCGGAUUCGACAAACACAACAAGAAUACAAGAUAUGUAGGUUUAUUUGACACCAAAAACAGCAACAACAACAAGAGAUAAUCAACAAUAUGGUAGGAAGAAAUAACACUAUGAUAACAAGAACCAAUGUUUCACUAGACAACACAAACUAAAACAUGAAAUGUAAAGAUAGGAAAUGAGACAUACACUACAAUAAGAUCUAAGAACCCAUAAACAUAUUCCAUCUAAGGACCCCUAGAACUUACAGUAGCAACACCACACUCUUACGAAGACACGAGAAGAAUUCCACCACUCAAGCACCAAGUUUCCAAGCAAUAUACAUUCACAAGUGUUUCCACACUUGUCAUGCCCUAGUUUUCGGCCUAGAGAGCCCUCUCUCAAGUGUUCUUACAUCAAUAUUUAGCAACCAAAUGAAAUAAACCCUAACAUGUUCUAUUUAUAGACUUAUUACAAUAAUAGGCAAAAUGACAAAGUGACCCUUAGUGUUAAAUGAACAAAAUGGCUCCCAUGGAGUGCAAUAGAGGGACGGCUUUUGAGCCCUUUUCACACUCCAACUCGUACACUCCGUAGGUUGCAUUCAACACACUAAAAAACGUCCAUCUUCAUGAUUGUACCCGUAUCAAUAUAUAAAUGUAUUUUUCCAUACAUGCAAGUUAGAAAAUUCAUUUAACAUACAAAUACAAUUAAACAUAACAGCUUUACAAAAAAUACAAAUAAAUACAUGUUAACCCAAAAAUAUAUAUUUAACCUAUCAUCUUCACAAAUUAGCUUUACUGAAAUUUCUAAAUACAUAUCAGCUGAUCAGUAAAUACAUAUUAGCUUCACAAAAAAAUACAUAUUACCCAAAUUGAUAACAACUUUACUGAAAUCCCUAAAUAUAUAACAGUAAAUAAAAAUGCAUAUACAAUGAAAAAUACCUCUUCCUCCAUGUCUUCUUCAGAUUUAUUAGCAGAAUAGUUCUCAACAUCGUUAUCAACACUGCUUGACUCUGCAAUUUCUUUUCCUUUUCUUUUCUUCUCAUAUUUUUUUUAUUUUUGUGUCUUUUGGAGAUGAAAUUUUUUUUAAUCAUUUUAUUUCAAAAUAUCAGCCAUCUUCAAAAAAAUCCAACCACUAAUAAGAAUAAAUCAGCCCAAAAUCAUCUACAAUAUCCAUUCAACUCCGAUUAUCCUUCGUUAAUCGUAACAAAAAAACUCAGUUCCAAUUCUUAUCCAAAAUUUAAUUUUUUCAACUAUAUCAACUCAUAAAACAUCAAAUUUCAUUGAAAAUCAAACAAAAUAAAAUUCAGCAAAUCCGAUCACCUUGAUUCUACGUUAACAAAUUCAAAAAUCAAAACCUUAAAGAUGAAGUGAAAAAAUUAUUUACAGUACAAAAUUAAAAAAAAAAUUAAGAAAUUGAUAACAUGUAAUAACUGAAUUAAUUAGUUACCUGAAAAUGUGGAUCGAUAUCCUUAUCAGAUUGUGCAAAAGACGUUAAGAAGGAAAAAAUUUUGAAAGAGAAAAUCUAGAAAAAAAAUGUGAAAGUGGUAAAGUAAAACACAAUUAAAGGAAAGAGAAAGAUUUGAAGCGUGAAAAAUGGAACCUCAAACACGGUAACUUCUGAGAGGUGGUAAGUGUGGUUCCCCACUCAAAAUAAUGCUAGGUUUGCUACACAAGGUAAUUUCAUUAAAGUGUUGCUAUUUUUUAUAAUUUAAGGGGUCGUUUGAUAGGCUGUAUUAGAAAAAAUAGUCCAUGUAUUAAGUGUGGUAUUAACUAAUACUAUGUUUGGUAGGAUUUUGGAUCAAUGUAUUACUAAUACCAUGUAUUAGUUAUACACCCUACAUGGUAUUAUAGGGUGUAUUACUAAUACAUCACAUAUGGUGGUAUUAGUAAUACAUGGGUUUUAAUACCAUUGGAUUAGUAUGUGUAAAUACAAAAAUAUUUCUCAAAUUCUUUUAAACAUUUUUUAUUUUCUUAAUUUUAUUUUUAAUAUUUGUACUAAUAAAUUAGUUUACAAAUUUUAUUAUUAUUUACAAAAAUGUCCUCAAAUUUCUUUAAUUUUUUUUCUAAAUCUUUUUCAAUUUAUUCAAUAUGGGUUACUUCUUUUCAAUUUCUUAAAAUAAUAAUAUCCCUUCAAAUAAUUUUAGUUAUAAAAAAACUAGUCCAUUAACUUAAAAAAUAUUUAUUGGUCAAAAUCCAAAAAAAAAUUGCAUACAAGCUUUAAUUUUGUAAAUAGGAUAUUUAUAAAUAAAAAUAAUUUUUCUACUUAGUUUAACAGUCUAUAAAAUACAAUUUUAUGUUAAUAAUGAUUUUAUUGUCUCAUCCAAAAGUUAUAUAUACCUCCCUCCUACUUAAAAAUACCACAAAGUGGGAACAUCAAGCAAAUAAUGAACAAAUAAAGAAAAAAGAUAAUUAAAAAAAUAAUUUUUGUAAGUGAAUGGUUAAAUCUUAAAAUUCUAAAGUAAAUAAUUAGUUAUAUUGUUAACUUUUUUUAUUUUAAAAAAAGAAUAACAAACUUUUGUAAAGAAAAUACACAAAGUUAUAAUAUGUUGAGGGUAUUUUUGUAAACAAACAAUAUUGUUUUAAGGGAAAAGACUCAAAUAUGCCACUGAACUAUCAGAAAUGACUCAUUUAUGUCAUCCGUUAAAAGUUGGGCUCAUUCAUGCCAUCGCCGUUACCAAAUUGGCUCAUCCAUGCCAUUACUUUUAACAACCGAUUUUUAAGAAAACAACUUUGCCACAUGGCAGCAUAUUAGAGGUUCCACGUCAUUUUUUUAAAAAAUUAAUUUUAAAAAAUUAUAAUUUUUUUUAUUAUAAAUAUUUUUUAAAAAAUAAAUUAAAAAAAUCCCUCAACUUCCCAACCUUAUACAUUAUAUAUUUAUAAAAAAAAUCUUAUCCUAAAGAAAACUACCCCAAUCAUCCCCACCUUUUCCUCAAGCCCCUCAACUCCCUCAACUUCUCAACCUUAUACAUUAUAUAGUACACCCACACAGACAUAAAGUGGGACAUAAAAAAACACAAAGAUAAGGGAAACGAAUAGGGAGGAUAAGGGAAACAAAAAAGACAAAAACAGGAAGAAAGGGAGAGGGACCUUGAAAAAAAAAACACGGACUGGGAGAGAAAAACAAGAAAAGAGAAGAGUGAAGAAGAAAAGGGAGUAACAUUUGACAAAAACAAAAACAAAUAACAUAAACGGGUAGACAACGAGUUGGAGUUUGAGGUUUGGUUCGUGAUUUCGAGUUCGCAGCUUCUUUCUUUUGUUGGCAACUAUUUUUUCAAAAGGUAAUCCUUCACCUUUCUUUGAAUAAUAUAAUAUCGUGAUUAUGCGAAAUUCAAUUCCAAUAUUAUGAAGUGGAGUUGCUCUUAUUUUACAUUUGUUGUUGUAAUAUUAGAGUAUUCAAAUCUUUGUUAUGAUUAAAUUUGAAGUGAGAUUUGAUAUAAUAUAUGAUCCAUGCAUGCAUGCAUAUAAAUGAUUAUAAAAAAAUAAUAAAUGAUAACGUACACAUCCACACACAAUACUUUACUACGUACAUUUUGCAUGCAUACACACAAAGAGGGCGAGAAAAGUAAGGAAAAGAGAAUGCACCAACAGAAGAAAUUGUUCACAUUUUUGCAUUCUUUUUCUUUCUCUAUCAUGUACUUUUCGAAGUGUUAAGAAGGAUUAACCAUUUAAGGUCUUUGAAUUGAUCAUUUUAAUAUGAUCACCUUUUUCAUUUGGCAAAAUAUGACAAGAAUACGGUUCCGUCCUUUAUUAUCAUUGCAUAUAAGGACUAGCAAUGGUUAUGAUGAACUAGAAUUUCGGGGUUUGAAUAUUUUGGGUUCAUGUAUAAAUAAAUACCUAGAAGAUUGGCCAAAUAUAUAUAUAAUUAUUUUUAAAAAUAAGAAUAAAAAAAAAACACGAACAUUAGUUAUAUGCAAAAUUUAUUAUUUGUUAUUUGAUAAAUAAAAGCAUAAUUAUAUAAAAAAAAUUAUAAAUAUUUUUUUAAAAUUUUUUUUUAUAAAAAAUAAAAAAAAGUGACGUGAACCUCUAAUAUGCUGUCACAUGGCAAAACUGUUUUUUAAAAAUCGGUUGUUAAAAGUAAUGGCAUGGAUGAGCCAGUUUUGUUACGGCGAUGACAUGAAUGCGCCCAACUUUUAACGGAUGAUAUAAAUGAGCCAUUUCUGAUAAUCCAGUGGCAUAUUUGAGCCUUUUCCCUUGUUUUUAAAAUAUAACAAUACAUAUAGUUUUAAUAUAUCAAACCAAACACUGCAUAAAAAAUAAUCUCAGUAUUACUAAUCCUUAUAUUACUAAUCCCUACAUUACUAAUCCCAGUAUUAUUAAUUCAACCUAUUCAGUAUUAUCUUAUCCACUUUACCAAACGACCCUAAGUGUUAAGUAUGCUACUCGUAGUUUUUCCUUUGAUAAAGACGAAGCGUGAGCCGUGAGGGGCCUGGGUAGGAUUAUGAGGAGAGAAAUUAGCAAUAUACGGCCAAAUAAGUGACCAGUUAAUACACAAUGCCUGGUGGACCAAAUGAAUCAGAAAAACAGUAAUACAAUCAUCGAUUGUACUACCAAAACAUAAUCAACACUAACAUUUAUUGAUUCGUUUAAACGUCUAACUAAAGCUUUUUCCUGAUAUGAUGCAAAGUUGAUUGAGCCAAAGUUAAAUUAAUUUCCUCAAUAAUUUUUCUCACAGUUUCAACGAGUUCACGAAGGAAAAUGCAUGCAAAAAGUUUUAUGCUUGAAUCUUACACUGCACAGAACACAGUUUCUUCCAAUAACAAGAGAAAUGACAACAUUAAAGGCACAUUAAAGUGACAAGACUACUGGUUCACCAAGAAAGAAUAUACUUUAACCAGCUAAAAAGAGGUUUUUUCUGUGACUCCGAUUUAAAAUGUUAUUCACUUCAAUGGGUGGAGCCAUGAUUUCACUUACGAGGUUCCUAAUAUGAAAAGUAAAGCCAAAGGGUUUCAGCAUCUUCUAUAUAUACAACAACAUACCUAGUGAAAUCCCACAAAGUAGGGUCUGGGAAGGGUAGAGUGUACGUAGAUCUUGCCCUAUCUUGUGGAGGUAGAGAUGUUUCCGAAUCUACUAUAUAUAUAAUAGUUUUAACCAUGUAUAAACAAUGUAUUUUUUGUCGAGGGAGAUUCGGGUGAACCCCCUUGGCCCUCCUAGCUCAACCCCAGCUCUCUAGCUUAUGUCAAUUCACUAUCGAAGCUCAAAGCCUCAAACUAAACAGAUGUAAAGUGAGAAUAACCUAAAGGCUGUGAAAACUGGUCCCAUUGUGUAGAGAUAAGAACCACGUUCAUUCCAAUAUAUGUCAAUUUCCAAUCUAAUAUCUUAAUAGAUUGUAAACUUUUUAGACCACAAAAUGAUCCUUCCAAAUACAAACAAACCUGCUGCAGUCAGUCAGUACAUUCCAACUUUUGAAGAUAUAAUAGCAAUAGAAUCCUGCUGCUCUAGUCUACCUUUCUAUCUUUUGGCCUAAUCAUUUAUUCUCACAUUUUUCUUUAAACUAGAAAGUCUAGAAUCCAAGUACAAUAUCAUCCCUAAUAUCCUUAAAUCUCCUUUUCUAUUCACAUUCCUUCUCCGUGAAGGUGCUUACAGAAAUGGUAAUUAGACUCGACUACUCUCUUCCAUUCUAUAGAAUAUAACUAUAUUUAUAUUUUUCUAACUCAUUAAAGCUUUCUAUCAAUCAUGCACAGGUUUUGGUUGAUAAUCAUGUUGGCAAAGACGGGGCAGAAGAUGGUAGUCUGGUUGAUUUUCGAGGAAACCCGGUUGAUAAGUCUCGUACAGGGGGAUGGCUAGCUGCAGGACUCAUCCUAGGUGCCCUCCCUAUCACAAAACUUGGUCUAAUAUAUCUUGUCACAACUGUUUUUGCAGUUUCAUAACUGAAAUUUUUGUUCUAGGAACCGAGCUAUCAGAAAGGGUAUGUGUCAUGGGGAUAUCAAUGAAUUUAGUCACAUACUUGGUCGGAGAUUUACAUCUUCCAUCCUCCAAAUCUGCCAACAUUGUCACCAACUUCAUGGGGACACUUAAUCUUCUUGGACUUCUAGGUGGUUUCUUGGCAGAUGCUAAACUUGGCCGAUAUUUGACUGUUGCAGUCUUCGCUUCAAUUGCUGCUGUGGUAAGGUUCUUGCGCAAAUUAAAGAUAGAGAAGUGGACUCCUAUAUUUCAUACUAAUAGACAACAUAUAGCCUAGACUUAGAUCCAGUAAAAGAAAAUGAUCCUGAAAGGAAGACUUUUGCACAAUUCUAGCAGCUAUUCACUUAAAUCAUGACAUGUGUUCUACAUAUUAGCUAGCCUAGAUCAUUUAUAUGAUUCUACAAGUUUUGCUUCUUCUACAUAUGAAAGAAGUAACAAAAUACCAUUUUAACUUUUAAAACAUGAACUUCCCUAAUAAUCUCAUGUCUAACCAGGGGGUAACACUGUUGACACUGGCGACAUCCAUUCGAAGCAUGAAGCCCCCUGAAUGUGACCCAAGAAAAGGUGGUCAAUGCAUUGAAGCCAGCGGCCAGCAACUUGCUCUUCUCUACACAGCACUAUACACCCUAGCUCUUGGUGGUGGUGGAAUCAAGUCAAAUGUCUCCGGGUUCGGGUCAGACCAAUUUGACCCAUCAGAUCCAAAGGAAAACAAGUCCAUGAUAUACUUUUUCAACAGGUUCUAUUUCUGCAUAAGCCUGGGUUCUCUGUUUGCAGUGACUGUGUUGGUGUAUUUACAAGACAAUGUAGGAAGAGGAUGGGGAUACGGGAUAUCAGCAGGCACGAUGGUUCUGGGAGUGGCUGUAUUGAUCGGUGGAACAACGUUGUAUAGAUUCAAGAAGCCUCAAGGAAGUCCUUUGACUAUCAUAUGGAGAGUUCUGUUAUUGGCUUGGAGGAAGAGAAAUCUUUCCUACCCUUCUGAUCCUGGCUUCUUGAACGAAUAUCAUAAUGCAAAAGUCCCACAUACACAUAUGCUGAGGUAAGCAUCAUCUUAGAAGUAAAAAAUACCAGCCUGGAGAAACCUGUCUAACUAAUUGCAGUUACCUAAAUAAGACUAUUAUCUACCCUCAACUAUUCCACGUAAAACACUGGAACCAUGGUAGACAUGGACUAGACCAAUUGAAACAUAAAGUGGACAUGAGCCUGUUCAGGACCAUUCCAAGUUUCCAAGAUAGGGUGGCAUCCCAGUAUCGCUAGGCAGACGUAGCCAUACCAAACAGAAUGCACAAAAUGGGCAAUAGACAACACAAGUAUGGAAUCUUCAACCAAAAUGUAACAGCCAGGAUUAACCAUAAUGUAGUUUUAGGCCAAUUAAGAAUUAUCAUAUGAAAUUAGUAGUCAAAAAAGUUAUCUGAUGUAAAUAUAAGCUGACCAGUUCUAGUUCUUGUUAUCAAAUAGGUGUCUUGACAAGGCAGCCAUUCAUGAUGACUGUGCAACUGCAAAUGAAGAUAGCAAGAACCCUUGGAUAGUUUCAACAGUUACAAAAGUUGAAGAAGUGAAAAUGGUGCUUAAAUUGAUUCCCAUAUGGUCCACAUGCAUACUUUUUUGGACAGUAUACUCUCAGAUGACUACCUUCACCAUUGAACAAGCUACCUUCAUGAAUCGGAAUGUCGGCAACUUUGCCGUCCCUGCAGGAUCCUUUUCUGUCUUUCUCUUUAUUAGCAUACUUCUCUUUACUUCCAUAAAUGAAAGAGUCACUGUACGUAUUGCCAGAAGAAUCACUCACAAUAGCCAAGGAAUUACAAGCCUUCAGAGAGUUGGAAUUGGACUACUACUCUCUAUUGUUGGUAUGGUAGCUUCAGCUUUGGUAGAAAAACGACGAAGGGAACAUGCCAUCCAUCAUAACUUCAAUAUAAGAGCUUUUUGGUUAGUCCCUCAAUUCUUCAUAGUCGGUGCUGGGGAAGCUUUUGCUUAUGUAGGUCAGCUAGAAUUUUUCAUCAGGGAGGCACCAGAAGGGAUGAAAUCUAUGAGCACAGGCCUAUUUCUCAGCACACUCUCAAUGGGAUAUUUUGUGAGUAGCUUGCUGGUGUCCCUUGUACAGAAAGCAACAAAAGGAAGAUGGCUUAAAAGCAAUUUAAACAAAGGAAAGCUGGAUCUUUUCUACUGGAUGCUAGCAGUCCUUGGAGUAAUUAAUUUCUUGAUUUUCAUUGCUUUUUCUAUGAAACACCAAUAUAAGGUGCAAAAUCUUAGCAAUCUUGAGGAUUCUGCAGAAGAGCUUGGGAAUUGGAAAAAUUUGAACCUCAACAACCAGGAAAACAGGCUCGAAGCAGAGGAGGAGGAGGAAGCCUAAAAAUUCCAUGAAGAUAAUCUCGGUUUAAGCUUUUUAUUGUCAAAUACAGCUAAGUACUUCUGAAGAUGGCAUACGACAGCAUAUGAGCUUUCAACGAAUCAUUCAUUUCCAAAGUUUGUACUGUAGGACCGUAUUCAAUUAUCAAAGAAUCAAUAAUAAUUUGCAACAAGUCUUGAGUUCUGUUUAGAUUAAAACAUCCUUUUUUUUUUUUGGAUGCAUUGGAUGUUCUAAGAACAUCAGAGUGAAGAAAUUUGAUCAAUUCAGCAAGCCCAAGGUGAUCUAUUUCCUGUUUUAAGUAGUGGUGUAACUAUGGAUACUUGGUUACUCAGCUAGGAAGGUGCAAUGCUGAAUACCAGAAAACCAUUCAAGUCAGAAAAAGAAGAUCUUUUAAAUUACUGAAUAAACUUAUAUACUAUGGGAUAAAGCUUCUGAUAACUUUUAUCAAAGAAAACAAAGGGAAAUGGAAGAAGGGCUUCUGUCGUUGGACUUCACUAGAAAAUAUUACACUGUUCCUCAAUUUUAGCCCCAUUUCUGUUUGAUGGUCAAUUUGAGUAAUUUUCGCUCCCGUUACUAGACACAAAGUAAUUCACUUUUUUUAAACAUAGCUACAUUCCUACUUGAAAAUGACAACAUGAUACAUUUGAAAGUUUUGGUCACUUUCUUUGUCACUUGGAAAGCAAAAACUGACAGCAAUUAUGGGAUUUAGGAAAUAAUAAAUUGUAUAAGAACAUAAAAGAUUUCAGAUGUUUUUACACAAUUUAAUAGAAAUUUAGAGAACAGCCUAAAAUAAACAAGAUUAGUCAAAAACCAUAAAUUAAUUUGAAUUAUAUCAAAUGAUCUGCAAAGUUACUGCAAACUACUUCAAAAGAGUAAUGGCUCACAACUACUAAGAGAGGACUCAGAGCUCAAUGCUCAUCCUAUGUUUCAUUAUGGGCUAUAUAUCUCUCUCAUUCAGUCGCAAUCACAACCAAUACCCUAACAUAAGCAAUAGCGACUAACCAAAAUUAGUGAUUGUGACCUUCACCAGAAAUUGCACAUUGUUCCUGUUUUGUUUUGCACUUGAACCACUAGAGAUCUUUCUAUAAGUACUUCAUCAUUUAGAAAUAAUACAUCAUCUAUCAACUAAGGCCCAGGACAGAUAGGAAGAAAUUAUCUAGUGUUUUUGUCUCUGUUGGGAUUUGAAUCGAGACCUCAUAGUUAUCAAUUCACUACAUUGAACAUUAGGCUAAGUCCUUGGGUACAUUCCACACAUUUUAUGAGGCAUGCUUAGCUUGAAGGAGUUCUCUGUGGCGGACAUAUUCGAAUGCAAAACAGAAAAAUAGAACAAUUAGGGUCCAAAGGGCAAAAUGAUGCCCAUCUACACAUGCAGCUGUCACACUCUUUUUUCGCUCGAGGUUUCAAGUCGAAGUAUUUUUUCAAUUAAAGUAACAGUAUUGAAUAGAGAUUAUUUUUUAAUUAUUUUCAGAGUCGUCACUUGUAAUUGAGUUAUAGUGUUUCAAGUCACCUUUUUGUAUUCCUAAAAAAAGGGAAAUGAUUCUUUGUUGGUGUGUGAAAAUAGAAGACUGAGUAAGAAAUUCUGUUGAAAUAGAAGACUGAGUAAGAAAUUCUGUUGACCGAGGGGAAGGUGUGAGGCAUCCCUCGAGUCCCGUGGUUCUAGCACGAUCGCUUUUAUUGACUUAUUCUGACUUAAAUUAUUUUAAUAAAUUAUGUUAAGGCCUAAAAUCGCUCAUUUUUAAUUAUAUCAAAAAUAUUUAUUUAUACCUCUUAUAUUAAAUUAGUGAAAGUUAAAAAGUAUUUAUUAAGUUAAUUUUAAAAAAAUAUUUGCCAAGGUGUAUUUUUUACAUCCUUGAAUUUUGAAUAUCUCGGAAAGAUGCGUACGCCGCAUUCUUAAUUGAGACGAUCAUUUUAAGCGUGCCUAAAAUUUUGCCUAGCGUUCAAGGCGUUAAUUCGUUACUUGUAAACUCGAGACAAUUUUAUCUAUGUGAAACACUAUUUAUUCUUAACAGUAAACUAAAACAAUAUUUUUUAAAGCGAUUAAUUAAAUUAAUUAAAUAAAUAUUUAUUAAAUUUUAUUGAUGACAAUGAAAUAAAAUAAUAAAAUAAAUAAUAAAUAUAAAAAAUACAUAAAGCUACCCAUUAAAUAAAUCUUUAUUAUGAUCCUCAAAAUUUAUUCUUUUUAAAUUAAUACAAAUUCAAAUUACAUAUUAUGAAACAAUUUAACUAUGAAAACUUUUUGAGGCAACUAUAUACAAAAUCUAAUCGAAGUAUAAACAUAGACACGGUUCAGAGUUAAUUUUUAAAAGAUUAGGCCGGUUUUGGGGGGAUUGAUGACUAAUGGAGACGUGGGUUUGGUUUAAAUCAGGGUGUUUGUGUGUAAUGAGGAAAAUAUUUUGUAUAUAGUGAGUGUUGGUAGCCGGCUUCUUUAGAAAAUAUAGUUGAGUGGAAAAAUAGUCACCACUGUCCUCUCUUAAUUACUUUUAUCAAAAAAAAAAAAAAUUAUAAAAAUAAAAAAUUCUAAGAUCGCCAACUUUUUUCAAUUAUUGGUAUUAUUAUUGGUUCUUAAAUGACUUUUUUUUUUACAUAAAUUAGAGCACUGAAAUUUUUCUCAUAAAUAAUAAACAAAUACGUCUCCUACUUUUCAUAAUAAAAAUAAUGAAGGAAAGUAGAAAUAAAAAUGACUUUAAUAUAUAUAAGAUAACUUAUUUUAAUAUACGUCUUAAUACAUAUCACAAAUUUAGACAUGAUCUGUUAUUGAGGUAUUGUAUUAGUUAUAUGUAUAUUUUUUGCUUCGGCUUUCCCUUUAUUUUUUCUUUGAUGUGUGAUUAUGAAACUUUUGUGUACAAGUAUACAAAUUAUCAAUAACUUAAUUCUAUAACAUGGAAUAACAAAUAAUCCAUAUAAUCAAUUCACUACAAAUUGAAUAACGCAUAAAACCACUUGAAUAUUUUUCUUCAUAUUUUUAUGGUAAACUUACAACAUAAAAUGGUUCAAGAUUGAAAAAGAACUUGUAAUUAUUUGAAUUGGAUAAUAAUGCGAGAAACAAUCGUUACCGGAAACUUCAAGCAGAAGCUCUAAAUUUUAAAUCUUUUCUUUCUUUAUUUUUCUCUCUUUUCUGAUCUUUUCUACUCUGUGUCUUUCUCACUCUAAUUUUUUAUCAAUCUCUGAAUAGAAUUCUGUCCGUUUUUUUCUUUUUCUCUCUGUGUUUUUCUCUUUUUGGUUAUCUGAUGUUGUGUGAUAGUGUUCAUGUACGUAGAAUCCUCUGUUGUUUUUGGAGUGAAGAGUCCUUUAAGUACAGGACUUUGGGGGGGGGGGAAUGAUUUCUUUAGAAAAAAAUAGAAGAUAAUAAUAAUAUUAAUAAAUAAAGAUAAUAAAUAAAAUAAUAAAAUAAUAAUAAUAACUAAUUAAAUUUUUAUAUUUAAGAAAACUCAAUAAAAAUUUAUAAAUAGCCAAAAUAAAUAUAAUAAAAUAGUACUAAAACUACUAAUUUAAUUUAUUUAAAAAGAAACAUAUUUUUUUAAAAAAAUUUGUAUUAUUUUUUUUAAAAUUGGAAUAAAAUAAAAUAAUAUCCUAAGAUUAAUUUCAUUUAUUUAUUUACUUUUUAACUGAAAAUUUGCUAAAAAUAAAAUAAUAAUUAAAAUAAUAUCGAAUCAAAUAUAAAUAUUUAAUAUCGAAAAAUAUAUAUAUUACACUCGGGGAUGAUCAAAAAUCACGUGUCUACAUUUUGCCCCUUUUUGUUUGAAAUCUCAAAGAGUUUUCAUACAAAGAAGUAGACAAAGAUAUGAUUUUUGAUCCUUCGAUUAUUCAAAAAGAAUAUAAAAAGAAAAAAGAGAUGUGACCGAGUCCUGAUUUUGGAGUCGCCUACAUAUCUCGGGUUAUAAGGGAAUCAGGUCACGUGUAGUUCAAAGGUAAAAUGGUGAGAGAACGAGUUAGAGAUCGAGUGAGGUUCCAUCAAGUUUCUGGUUGACGACUUUUCCUUUUAUAUUCACAUGAAUAACAAAAAUAAAAUUGAAGAUACAAGUGAAAAAUCCUAUCUAUUCAGCUAUUCUGGAAUCUUGACUUGAAUCUUCAUGACUUCUCAAAUGGUGAGAUAGUCGUUAUUCUGAGUUGAACUUGAAAUAUAAAAUGUUCCUCCUCGUUGGCUUUUGACAUUAGAGAGGAACUUAACAAUUGAUUUAUUUUUCAGACUUUCUUCUGGUUUGAACUUGAAAAUCUUCAUUCUAUUCUUCAGGCGGGCUCUUGACUUGCUAUUAAUUUCAUCCUGUUCUUCAGGUGGGCUCCUAACUUGUUACUUCUUCACUCUGUUCUUCAGGCAGGCUCCAAUGCCACUUGAAUUACCAAAACAAGGAAGUACGUCUCAAUGUCAUUUGAAUUACCAAAUCAAGGAAGUGCGUCUCCUUACCAAUGUCGCUUGAAUUACCAAAACAAGGAAGUGCGUUUCCUUAUCGAUGUUGCUUGAAUUACCAAACAAGGAACUGCAUCUCCCCACAAAUGUUGCUUGAAUUACUAAACAAAGAAGUGCGUCUCCUUACAAAUGUUGCUUGAAUUACCAAACAAGGAAGUGCAUCUCCCCACAAAUGUUGCUUGAAUUACCAAACAAGGAAGUGCGUCUUCUCACGAAUGUUGCUUGAAUUACCAAACAAGGAAGUGCGUCUCCCCACGAAUGCCGCUUGAAUUACCAAACAAGGAAAUGCGUCUCCCUACAAAUGUUGCUUGAAUUACCAAAUAAGGAAGUGCGGCUCCUUACAAAUGACCAAACAAGGAAGUGCAUCUCCCCACAAAUGUUGCUUGAAUUACCAAACAAGGAAGUGCGUCUUCUCACGAAUGUUGCUUGAAUUACCAAACAAGGAAGUGCGUCUCCCCACGAAUGCCGCUUGAAUUACCAAACAAGGAAAUGCGUCUCCCUACAAAUGUUGCUUGAAUUACCAAAUAAGGAAGUGCGGCUCCUUACAAAUGUUGCUUGAAUUACCAAACAAGGAAGUGUGUCUCCUUAUCGAUGUCGCUUGAAUUACCAAACAAGGAAAUGCGUCUCCCCACAAAUAUCGCUUGAAUUACCAAACAAGGAAAUGCGUCUCCCCACAAAUAUCGCUUGAAUUACCAAACAAGGAAAUGCACCCCCCACAAAUGUUGCUUAAAUUACCAAACAAGGAAGUGCGUCUCCUUACAAGUGUUGCUUGAAUUACCAAACAAGGAAGUGCGUCUCCCCACGAAUGCCGCUUUGAGAAAUUAUGGCCUUUGAUGUUUAGGCUUUGACAUUAUUGAUUUGAAGGUAACAUGUGUUCCUGAAUAAUGAACUAACUACAAGAAGCAUGAUCGACGUCACCAAAAACUCGAACAGAAAUUUACUUCAACACUCGAUUUACAACUCUUUCUUUUCUUCAACUCGUUCUUCAGGUGAGCUCCUGGAUUUUCUUUUCUGAUUUUUUAAAAUAUGUUCCUGAACUCAAAAUAAAAGGUGAAACAGAAAAAUAACAUCGCAUUCUUCAGGAGGGUCCUGGACAUAAAAUAAAUUUUCAUUCUUCAGAAGGGUCCUGUCCUAUUCUUCAAGAGGAUCCUGAUCAUAAAAAAUAAAUUUCCAUUCUUCAGGAGGGUCUUGUCCCAUUCUUCAGGAAGGUCCUGAGCAGAAAGUAAAAUUCAAUAAACACGAACAAAAGUUUUACCACAUUUGUACUAGAAAAUUUUGUGAGCAUCAUCUGAUUACAGUUUUUGAAAAGUACAGAAAGAGUAUGAAUCAAAGCCCUGCUAGCUAAAGAAAUGUGUCUCGUCAGAGUAAAACUGAGGACCAAAAUUAAAAAGUGUGUCUCCUAAGUGUUAAAUUGAAGGACUCGACUAGAAAGUGCAUCUUCUAGGAGUGAAUGUUCAAGUUAGGAAGUGCAUCACCUAACAAAUGAAAACUGACUUAUUUAGACUAGGAAGUGCGUCUUCUAGGGGAUAAAUGAAAUGACUCGACUAGAAAGUGCGUCUUCUAAGAGUGAAGGUUCAAGUUAGGAAGUGCGUUACCUAACACAUGAAAACUGACAUACCCUAACUAGGAAGUGCGUCUCCUAGGGGUUGAAUGAAAUGACUCGACCAGAAAGUGCGUCUUCUAGGAGUGAUGGUUCAAGUUAGGAAGUGCUUCACCUAACAAAUGAAACUGAAAUACUUGGACAAAGAAGUAUGCCUCUGAGACCUGUGAAGCAAUAUUGCUUCCUACAUUUAUGGAAAUAAGGCAUUGCAACCCUUGAUAUUUAUGCUUUGUUUCCUGUUUCAUCAAAGAUAAAUUGUGAGUUCAAAAAUAUGGUGGCAGGUUUGUGGCUUUAGCUCUGUGGAAAUCACUCUUGCCCUCGUUAUUAUUGACCUUGUUUCCAAUCAUUAGAAUCUGUCACUGACUUGCUGCAUUGCUGAUCCAAACUCAAACAAAUUAGAAGUGACUCCAAGCACAGUAUAUCUGCUUUUCCAUACUUAUCAAAUAAACCCUUUGAACCUUGGUAUUUUAUGAGUUCCCAGGCUCUUUUGUUGAUAAAACUUUCUGCAUGCCUUAUUUCAGCUCACAGUCAUGUCUCUUUCAUAUAUUGGCUUUUAGUCUUGCUUUGUGCAAUUGAAGAAGUUGGUAGCAAGUUUGGAGUCCUUUCUUACUUGACUUGACGUAAAUUUGACUCAAAAAUACAAAAAAGAUGACAAUAAUUUCCGUUUGACGACAAGGACACAAAAAAUCAAAAAUAGCAAAAUAAAAAAAGGAAACAAUAGGCUUUUUUUGUUUUUCAAAAUUACAGAAGAAAACUUAUUUGGGUGUGGUAGCCGAUUCCAGCAAUCAUGACAUGUAUUUUGAAUUAAAUAACAUGAUCUACCCAUACUAAUCAUUACAAAUCUUGUCCACUUAUUGAAUUUGAAAUGAAAUCAUUCUUGAAUAUGCUCCCUCUAAAUCACAAUCCUCCUUCGGCUAGUGGCACCUCAAUAGGUUUCUGCCAACACCUAUUUUAUUUUCAUUUCUUUCUCAGCUCACUGUCGACUUAUGGUGCCCAAAGGGUUUUCACCAAUAAGACUCUCUCAUUUUCAUUCAUCAUUUUUUUAACCUUUUUUUUAAAGAAAAAUAACACCCAAAAAUAUGAAAUAUCAUGUACCCAUAAGAUGUUAAGCCUUGACAUUCUCCAAGAUUGAUCUGAAGGUCUUUCUUUAGUUGUAACUUGACUUUUGGAAUGGGUUAUAAAUAAGGUCGGCAUGUGGCUCAAAAUUUACAUUGGGUAAAACAUACAACUAUUGAAAUCGAUUCUUUUAAAGAAAUAAACUUUUGCCCCAGUUUUAUUCCAUUCUGGGUAACUUGAAUUUUCUUUUGGUUGGACCGAACCCCGAAAUAGAACUGCCUACGUAUCUUGUCAUAUCAAGAAUCAGGUCAAACAUAGUUCAGGCAUCUUGUUCUUUUGCUUGAUUUUUUUUAACUUUGGCUCUCUUUUCUUGCCUUUUUUUUAGCGAGAGAUUUUUUUUUUGCACUUUUUCUGACUAUAUUUCUUUUUCUGACAUUUUUCUUUCUCUUUCUUCUAUUUUAAUUGAUUUUUUUUUCAUACUUUAUUUUGAUUCUAAAAGAGGUGUAUGAAAGAAAAUAAAAUGAAAGCUCAAAGAGGGUAACAAAGGAUGACACAAUAUUUGGAUAGAAGAAUGAAAUGCCUUCGUUAUAUCAAUCCUUAAAAAUGCAAGAAUAUAACAUGAUCUGAGGGUGAAACAUGAGAUCAUACAUAUCUUUUCAACAUUGACCUUCACUAAGAACGUGUACAUGAGUCAAUUAUUUCAUGUUUAUAAAAUAUACAAGUCCACUUGUGUUGUACUUUCUUCACAUGGAUGACUCAUGUCUUUUUGGGAGCUAACUUUCUUUCAUUUUUCCUGACGAUGGGACUAUAUAUCCUCUGAUUGAUCCCAUUCAAAAUGCUUGAAUUAGAUCUUCGAAUUGAUGAUCAAGUCAUUUUUGAUUCACAAAGUGAUUGCCUCAAAACAUUCUAGUGAAGAUGUAACUAGGUCCCCAAAACAUCUCAACUCUUUACUUAUUUUUCUUACAUAUUUUUUUUCAACUCUAAGUUCUUGAUCAAAUGUUUCAACAUUAGAUAGGGUUUUAAGAUCUGGCUGAAAAUUCAACAUGCUUAUCAUAUUACCAGAAUCACCAUAGAAAGAGCUCUUUGAAGAAAAGAAAGAAAGACAAUAUAUAUUGUGAAAUAAAAGUAAAAGGGACACAUAUUUUGUUGACAAAAAGAUAGAAGGGUUUGAACAAAAACAACGAUAAGAAAAUCAGACAAGACAAGUCCUAAACUACAACCCUAAAAUAAUUCGGGUAACAGAAAAGAAAAUAAAACAAACUACUAGACCUCUCCCUAGUAGUGAGAGGGGUGACUUCUCAAUUGUUCAGCCUGGCAACUUAGCCACUGAUUUGCAUAUCAACAUGACUAGAGCUUCCACCACGAUCAACAUCCUGCACCAUAAUCAAUUUAUCUUGAAUCAUUCUUUUUAUUUCUCUUUUCAAAACACGACAAUCUUCAGUACUAUAACCCUGAACAUCAGAAUGAUAUACACAUCGUACAUUAGGGUCAAAGUUUCUUGAUUGUGGGUCAGGGGUAUACCCAAGAAGAGGAGUGAUCAUGUCUUUUUAUCUCAGUUUCUAGAAUAAAAUGGUAUAUGAUUCUCUAAUUGGUGUGAAACUAUCCUUUAGCUUCUGCCUCUUUUCAUUGUUUAGCUUAGAGUGAAAAUCGAGUCUGGAGGGGCUUGGGUAUGCUUGGAGAAUUGGAGAAUGAUUUUGAGGGGUUGGUGCAUGCCAUUGCGGGUAAGAAGGAGUCCAAACAUAUGGUUGUACAUUAUAGAUAGAAUAUUGAGGAGAUGGAAUGGAAUAUAAUGGGUUUUAUGGUGGAACAUAGUAUCGUGGGAGGUUAUAUGGGUCUUGGACAUAAAUUUGGGACUGAGAUUGUGCGUAAGGGUGACGCACACCUCUCCAAUUUUGUCGUGGACCUGGUAUAAUAGUUGCUACAUCUUUUUUUUUUUUGUUUUCACCAAAGCUUCCUGAACCACUUUAAAUUGCUUGUGUUGUUGCUUUUAAAGUGGCUUGGCUGAUAAUCUUUCAGACCUUAAUUCCACUCUCUACCAUCUCUUCAAUUUUAAUGACCUCGGCAAAUGUGUUUCCAAUAGUAGAAAUCAAAUGAUGAAAAUAAUCAGGUUCUUGUGCCUGUAGAAAGAUAUUAAUUAUUACAAACUCUUUUAUCGAUGGUCUGACUCUUGCAGCUCGUUCUCUCCAUCUGAUAGCAUAUUCUCGAAAACUUUCAGUUGUCUUUUUUCUCAUAUUAGUAAGUGUGGUGCGAUUUGGGACUAUCUCGAUGUUAUAUCGAAACUGUUAAACAAAAUCCCGAGCCAUGUCAUCUCACACGUGCCAACGGGAAAUGUCUUGGUUAAUAAUCCAUUCAGAAGCUACCCCUUCCAAGCUUUCUCUAAAGUAAGCCAUGAACAAUUCUUUUUUUCCUCCUGCUCCCCUUAAUUGAUUGCAAAACUUUUUCAAGUGAGCUAUAGGAUCGCCAUGACCUUCGUAUUUGUCAAACUUUGGCAUUUUGAACCCCAAUGGCAAAUGGACAUCAGGAAACAUACAGAAAUCCUUGUAUGAAACACUCAUAAAUCCUUGUAUGAAACAUUCUUUGGUCCUCCCAAUCCUUGCAUAUUUCUCAUACUCUGCUCCAAGUUUCUUACUUUCCUAGUUAUCUCAUCUUGUUCCUCAUUCUUAACAAUCUUUUCAAUCAUGAUAGGAGAAUUGUGUUGAUGAGAAUGAUAAUGUGGAUUUUGAGGUUUGAAAGUCAUUUCAGGAGGAUACAACAGAUCAUGACUUGGUUCCCCCAUAUUCUUCUGUGCUGUCGAUUGAAGACCCAUAGUAGCAGGUGCUACAGAAGUGAAAAAUGAGUUAUUUGUGAUAGACGGAUUUGGUGGGCCCAUGGUAGAAGUACCUAUAGCGCCAGACACAUUAACAUAUGGUCCGAAUCCAGGCGUGUAAAAUGAUCGCUAGUUUGAGCUUGAGCAGGAUUUGGAUCAUUCAUAUUCGCAAGUCCAGGGAUUGAGGAAGGUGGGGCUUGUCCAUUUAACCAAGCUUGGUACAGUUCCGCUAUCUGUUGUUUCAAUAACUUAACCUCUUCCAUUGAUGGUAAUUCUGGCGAAAUCAACUGAUUUUCCUCUUCCUCAUUGUCAGACCUAGGGGUGGCAAUUUCAGCCUAUAUUUGUAAAAAGAAUCCAUUUAACCCAUAUUUAGUGAAUUGAGUCACUCAUAUUUCAAAUGGGUAAAUAUGGACUUCUAACUCAUUUUAAAAGCUUAUACAAAUAUGGACAAAAUGGGUAAAAUAUGAGUACCCAUUUAAACACGGAGAUCACCCACCUAUGCUUAAAGUUUUAGUUUUUUUUUUCCUUUCUUCUUCUUUUUUUCUUUCUUUUUUUCUUUAAUUUACUUUUUUUCUUUAUCAUUUUUUUACUCAUUCCUUACAAUUUAUUUUUUUCUUUCUCAUUUUUUCAUCUAUUUUUAUAUUUUUUUAUUUUAUUUCUUUUUUCUUUGUAUUUUUUUCGCUUUCCCCUUUCUCAUUCUUAUUUCAUCAUUCGAAUUCGCUUGAGACCUACAUGGGUUAAUAAAUAUAAGCUUCUAAUUAUCCCAUUUAGCCUAUAUAAUUCAUAACACCCCUUAUCAAUUAAAUAUAAUCUAUAGUCUCACUCCUUUAUUAUUAUUUUUUUCUAUCUUUUAUUUUUCUUUUUUUUUUCCUUUAAUUGACUAUUUUUUUCUUUUUCAUUUUUUCCACUUAUUUUUUACUAGUUUCUUACACUGUUUUUCUUUCUUCUUUUUCAAUUUUAUUUCUUUGCAUUCUUUUUUUUUGUAUUUCUGUUUCCCGCUUUUUCAUUCUUGGUUCGUCAUUUUUGUCAUUUUUUUAUAUUCUUUUCCUCAUCUUUUUUUUGUCAUUGCAUUUUAUAUUUUUUUUUACUUUAAAUUUAUUUGUAUCAUACUAUAUAUUUCAAAUAAAUUUAUUAUUUGUAUUUGAAUAGUUUAGUUGUCAGUAUGUGCAAUUUAUCAUUUGUAUUUAUAUACAAAUAAGUAUAUGAAUUAAAAUCAAUAUGGGUUGUGGUGCAGCGGAUGGAGCUGCUCCACCCUUAACCAGAGGUCAAGGGUACGACCCUGGUUAUCGAGAAAACUCUGUUGGGAGUAUGCCACCUUAAUGGGCCCUGCAACGCUCGAUCCGAAUUAGUCGGGGAUUUAAUGCUGACACCGGAUGAAAAACCAAAAAAAAAUAUAUGAAUUAAUUGUAUUUUCUUGAGACUAAAAUAUAUAUGGCUGAGGAUCCACAUAGCCCUCGAACUAUAAAUGUUGGACGAAUAUAAAUUAAUAUGCGCUUAUGGUAUUUUAGUUAUCAUAAUAAAAAGAAGGAAAACAAAAAUAGAAAAAAAAAAGUAGAAAGAGAGGUAGAAGUUAGAGAUAGAAGAGAGAAAAAAAGCGUAAAGAAAGAACUGAAGAAAAAAAUACAAAAAAAAUUAAAAAGAAAAAAUAAUGAAAAGGAGAAAAGGAAAAAGAAAAAAAGAUGAUAGUGAAAACAAAUAUACUGAGUGGUUACGAUAUUUUAAUCAUCAUCCAUAAUUUAUACUCGACUUAACCAUGUUCUUCGAAAAUAAAAAAAUAUAAAACAUAAAAUACAACCGAAAAAGAAAAAAAUGAGAAAGAAGUAAAAGCAAAAAUAUAAAAAAUAGAAAAAAAGGCGACUAAAAAGGAAAAGAAAAAUGAAAGAGAAACAAAGGGCAGAGGGUAGAGAUAAAAGAGAGAGAAAAAAAAAAGAAAUGACAAAAAAAAUGAAAAAAAAAAUAGAGGCUACAUAUAGAAGAGAGAUAAAAAAACCCUAAAAAGAAAAAACUAAAAAAAAAAGAAAUGGAAAAAAAGUCAAGUUGAUAUGAUAUAGAAGUUUUAAGUUUUUGACUUAGGAUUUAAAGUGGGUUGAAACCAUUUUUACCCAAUCCAUAUUUGAUCAAAUCCAUAUUUACCCAUAUUUAUAUGGGCGGAUUGCAAUCCAAACCAUUUUUGCUCAAUCCAUAUUUAACCCGUCCAAAUCCAAUCCAAUCCGCCAGUUUGUCACCCCUAGUCAGACCCUACACCCUCUUUGCGGGUCAUUUUUUUUCCUUGUAUCUGGUGUUGUACAGAUGUGAUGUCAGUUUAAACAACAAACCAACCACCAACUACUUAUCUUUCUGUUAUCAAGUAGCAAACGGGUGAAUGUUAUAUAUUUAACACAUUAUAAUGUCACGUUGUAUGUUAUGCUUCUAGAUGCACUUUCCAACCUAUUAGGGAAGACUUUAUGUUUCAUCCCGGCUUUCUAGGCUCACUUUUUUGAAAAAUUUUGAUCGAUCCCUUUAGAGGUUUGCCUACGUAUCAUGCCAAGACAUGAAUCAGAUCUUGCGUAGUUCAAAAAAAUUGAAGAUACGAAGAAAUAUACCUUUUUAUUAUUAUUAUUAUUUGAAAUAUGAGAAACAAAUUUUUUAUUUUUGAAUAACAUUUUUAAUUUUUGAAAAUAUUUUUUUUUUAGAAGGAAAGACAUCCAAUUUUUUUUAAGAUCACCGAAUCCAUUGAGGACUGCCUACGUAUCUCAUUAAAAUGAGAAUCAGGUGUGCGUAGUUCUUGAAAUUAUGUCGUACAAAAUUUAGCCUCAAGACCCCUAAAGGUUCAGGGCUAUUAAGAUUUAUAUAUUUUGUAAAAACUUAGCCUCAUGAUCCCUAAAGAUUCAGGGCUAUUAAUAUUUAUAUAUAUUUUUUAUUUUUUAAAACUUAGCCUCGUGAUCCCUAAAGAUUCUAGGUUAUUAAGAUAUAUAUAUAAAAAUUGAACUUAAGAAUAAGAAAAAUAAUUAUGAAAGUAAUCAUAUUUUCAAAACAUUCCCCAAUAAAUCUAUGAAUAAUUUUUCAAAAGAUAGGGCCGUAUCUUGGGAAGGACAUCCUACGUAUCCCACUAAAGAGUGAGAAUCAGACCCUUGUAGUUCAUGAAGAUCGUAAAAUUAUGUUACUAAUUUUAUUUUUCUUUUAAAAAUAAAAUUUUUCUUUGGAAAAAAUAAUUCACUAAAUGUGAGAAUAAAGUAAUCUCUUACAUUUUAAAGUUGCCUAAAACCGGUCAGCAAAAAAAUAGCCUUCCAAACAAAUGUCAAAGAGCACGUAGGAUACACAUGUUGGUCUUUAUAAAGUAGGUCAUCUGUCCUAGAAAGACCUGACCCCUGUGCCGAGUUUCGCUAAGUCAAAUGCAUAUGAUGCAAAUAAAGCGGUACCUAAUAGGAAUAACCAGAUUCUGAGUUUUCAGUUCUUCUAGGUUUAAGUCUAAUAGGGAUAGGUGUCUAGACUGGCUUACCCGAGCGGACACUCGAGCCGGGGAGGGAUAACUUGAUCGGUAGUAGGGCAACACCGCCUUCGUUGUCGAUUUGAACCCCGCCUAACAUGUGUGACUAUAAUCCUUCUCCAGGUGCCUUGAUACUCCGGCUAGCUCAAAAGAAAGUUAGGAUAUAUACGCUGCAUUCCUUUUAUCCUAUUUUAGAGACUCCGAAGGGGUGCGUAAGAAAAGACAGUUUAUAAAUACAGUUCAACAAUAUCAAAGCAGUAAAUGAGUAACAAGUAACACAAGGCAAAUAAACACAAUAUCAAUAAUAAUUAAAGCAAGUAUAAGUCAAUAUCAAAAAGCUUGAAUUCUAGAGUUUCCCUACCAGAGUAGCCAGAGAUGCCACACCCCCUUUUCGCUCGAGACUUCAAGUCGAAGGGUUUUUUCAAUUAAAGUGACGGUUUUGAAUAGAGAUUAUUUUUUAUUUAUUUUCAGAGUCGCCACUUGGAAUUGAGUUAUGGUGUUCCAAGUCACCUUUUUGUAUCCCUAAUCAAAAGAAAAUGAUUCUUUGUUGGUCUGCGAAAAUAGAAGACUGGGUAAGAAAUUCUAUUGACCGAGGGGAAGGUGUGAGGCAACCCUCGAGUCCCGUGGUUCUAGCACGAUCGCUUUUAUUGAUUUAUUCUGACUUAAAUUAUUUUAAUAAAUUAUGUUAAGGCCUAAAAUUGCUCAUUUUUAAUUAUAUCAAAAAUAUUUAUUUAUACCUCUUAUAUUAAAUUAGUGAAAGUUAAAAAGUAUUUAUCAACUUAAUUUUAGAAAAAUAUUUUCCAAGGUCUAUUUUUUACAUCCUUAAAUUUUGAAUAUCUCGGAAAGAUUCGUACGCCGCAUUCUUAAUUGAGACGAUCAUUUUAAGCGUGCUUAAAAUUUUGCCUAGCGUUAAAGGUGUUAAUUCGUUACUUGUAAACUCGAGACAAUUUUAUCUAUGUGAAACACUAUUUAUUCUUAACAGUAAACUAAAGCAAUAUUUUUUAAAGUGAUCAAUUAAAUUAAUUAAAGAAAUAUUUAUUAAAUUUUAUUGAUGACAAUGAAAUAAAAUAAUAAAAUAAAUAAUAAAUAUAAAAAAUACAUAAAGCUACCCAUUAAAUAAAUCUUUAUUAUGAUCCUCAAAAUUUAUUCUUUUUAAAUUAAUACAAAUUCAAAUUACAUAUUAUGAAACAAUUUAACUAUGAAAACUUUUUGAGGCAACUAUAUACAAAAUCUAAUCGAAAUAUAAACAUAGACACGGUUCAGAGUCAAUUUUUAAAAGAUUAGGCCGGUUUUGGGGAGGUUGAUGACUGGUGGAGACGUGGGUGUUUGGUUUAAAUCAGGAUGUUUGUGUGUAAUGAGGAAAAUAUUUUGUAUAUAGUGAGUGUUGGUUGCCGGCUUCUUUAGAAAAUAUAGUUGAGUGGAAAAAUAGUCACCACUGUCCUCUCUUAAUUACUUUUAUCAAAAAAAAAAAAUUAUAAAAAUAAAAAUAAAAAAUUCUAAGAUCACCAAAUUUUCUCAAUUAUUGGUCUUAUUAUUGGUUCUUAAAUGACUUUUUUUUUUUUACAUAAAUUAGAGCACUGAAUUUUUCUCAUAAAUAAUAAACAAAUACGUCUCCUACUUUUCAUAAUCUGAUUAAAAAAGGAUAAAAGUAAUGAAGGAAAGUAGAAAUAAAAAUGACUUUAAUAUAUAUAAGAUACCUUAUUUUAAUAUACUUCUUAAUACAUAUCACAAAUUUAGACAUGAUCUGUUAUUAAGGUAUUGUAUUAUUUAUAUGUAUAUUUUUUGCUCCGGCUUUCCCUUUGUUUUCUCUUUGUUUUUUUUUCUCAUGUGUGCGUCUAGCGAUGUGUGAUUAUGAAACUUUUGUGCACAAGUAUACAAAUUAUCAAUAACUUAAUUCUAUAACAUGGAAUAACAAAUAAUCCAUAUAAUCAAUUCACUACAAACUGAAUAACGCAUAAAACCACUUGAAUAUUUUUCUUCAUAUCUUUUCAGUAAACUUACAACAUAAAAUGGUUCAAGAUUGAAAAAGAACCUGUAAUUAUUUGAAUUGGAUAAUAAUGCGAGAAACAAUCGUUACCGAAAACUUCAAGAGGAAACUCUAAACUUUAAAUCUUUUCUUUCUUUAUUUUUCUCUCUUUUUUUUCUGAUCUGUUCUACUCUGUAUUUUUCUCACUCUGAUUUUUUAUCAGUCUCUAAAUAGAAUUCUGUCCAUUCUUUUUUUUUCUCUCUCUGUGUUUUUCUCUUUCUGGUUAUCUGAUGUUGUGUGAUAGUGUUCAUGUACUUAGAAUCCUCUGUUGUUUUUGGAAUGAAGAGUCCUUUAAGUACAGGACUUUGGGGGCGAAAUUUUAUAAUUUAUUUAUUUAUUUAUUUAUUUUCUUAAAAUAUGACAAUAAUAAUAAUAAAUAAAAUAAUAAAUAAAAUAAUAAUAAUAAUAAUGAUAAAUAUAAUAAUAACUAAUUAAAUUUUUAUAUUUAAGAAAACACAAUAAAAAUUUAUAAAUAGCCAAAAUAAAUAUAAUAAAAUAGUACUAAAACUAUUAAUUUAAUUAAUUUAAAAAGAAACAUUUUUUUUUUAAUUUUUUGUAUUAUUAUUUUUUUAAUUUGAAUAAAAUAAAAUAAUAUCCCAAGAUUAGUUUCAUUUAUUUAUUUAUUUAUUAACUUAAAAUUUGCUAAAAAUAAAAUAAUAAUUAAAAUAAUAUCGAAUCAAAUAUAAAUAUUUAAUAUCGAAAAAUAUAUAUAUUACACUCGGGGAUGGUCAAAAAUCACGUGUCUACAACAGGUAUAUAUAAUCUAAUAAAUGCUCUAUGUUUAAGACGAAUAACAAAUGAAACAACAGCUAGCAUAAGGGAACAAGUACUAAAUGAACGAUUUUGCAAGGUUGAAUGAGGAUAAGAUGAUAUUUAUCUAGUGGUCAAUGAACGAUUUUGCAGGGUUGAAUGAGGAUAGGAUGAUAUUUACCUAAUGGUCAAUGAACUAUUUUGCACCAUUGAAGAUUCAACUUCAUCUUCACAAUGAUAUGAAUUAUUUUUAGAUUACGAGGGAAUCUAUGUAUGGUGGAAUAAGUAAUACAUGAAUAACUAAAUACUGCAUAAAAAUACAUAAACUUGCUCAUAACUAAUCUAUGUAUUUUCUUUUGGUCAAACGAAAAAAAAUUUAUUCAACCGGUGAACAUUAUGUACAACUAACAUUGGGACUCAGCUAGUGAUUCUCAAUACAUCAUCAAACUUAUCUAUAUAGCCUAUCAACAGGCUAAGUCUAGACAAUGGGAAAACAAUUUAAUAAUGCAUAACUUUAACCUGCUACCAAAUGACCCCUAAAGGAACUAUAUUGCAGGGUUGAACGAGGGUUGGGGAUUAUCUUUAUUCUUCACCUAUGCUAAUUACUGAAGCACCAUUGAAGAUUCAACUUCAUCAUCAGUUCCUGCCAACAAUAGUAUUCAUAAAAAAUGAAUUACUUCCUUUCACAUUCCAACGCCAAAUUGGGUAGUUAUAUGAACCAGGAUGGGAUGAUCAAAACACUUAAACUCGUAAAAUGAAAUCAUUCAUUAGACAUCAGUUAAAAUGGUGACUCUAAAAGCAGGUAUUUCUGCACUUCGCCCAAUUAAUUAUUGUGGCCAUAUAUGGAAUUUCUAAAGCCUACCAUAAGAAUUAUUCAUUUUUUUACUGAAUAAUUUGUUAAUUUAUUUCAAAAUUACGUUUGCUGAUGAAAAUUUGAAUAGCCUAUUUGAUCAAUUUUUUGGAAUGCAAAAACAACUUAAACAAACAUAUGUUUAAACAGGAUCCACCGGACAUGAAGACCUCCAUGGAUGAAGACGACACAGCUAGGCCAUCCUUCAAACAAAUACUGAUGGAAAAGAGUCUCGGUCUAAACAUUUCAUCUCACCAACGCCCAGGCAAAGGCGUUAAAAUCACCCAGGCCACCCAUGAUGCUAUUCACCUCUUGAUGAUGAGAUCAGACGCAUCCAUGAACCAUGUCAACACUCACUAAUAAUCAAACUCUUUGGGAAGAAACUAGCCCAUCAAUACCUCAAAAAUAAAUUAAGUGAACUGUGGAAACCAACAGAGCCCCUCAUUCUCAUAGAUCUGGGGUGCGAUUUCUAUACGGUUUAAUUCGCUCAACAAGAAAAUACAAACAAAGUGCUACAUCAAGGGACCUAGUUCGUCGCAGGGAAAUUCCUAACGAUACAACAAUGGGUGCCUAGCUUUGUACCAGAUGAGUUCACGCUCACACACACGGCAAUUUGGGUUAGAUUAUCCCAAUUGCCGACUGAGUACUAUGAUAGAUCAAUACUGGAGAAAGUGGGAUAGAAAUUGGGCAAACUCCUAAAGAUUGACGCAUGCACUUCAGUAACCCUUAAGGGCCGGUAUGUAAGGAUAUGCAUGAAGUACCUCUAAACACACCGUUCUUAACCACUGUUACCAUUGGAACGCAUAAGCAGAAGGUGGUCUACGAGGGAGAGGGGAUAAUGUGCACGUGCUGUGGACGUAUUGGUCACGUUACUGGAAAUUGCCCCCAUCACCAACAACCCUCCACCAUCAAACAACCACCAUUGGAAAAUAAUGACAGUGAUGGAUGGACAACAAUCUCAUUCUCAACAAGAAAGGAAAACUCCAAAUCCCGUCACAAGGAUGCGUUCAUCUAGGUAAAGGAGUACAAUGCCCUAACAGGUAAGUUUUCUACUCCUUUGACUCCCUCACCUCUGGUAACGAAUAUCGAAAUCAGUUCAGGCAUCGAUGCUAAUCCUCAUGGGCCCCAAAAACAAAAUAAUGGGCCCAAUAAUGGCAAAAGGAAAUAAAAUAUUGGCCCAGGUCCAAAAUGGAUACCCAAACGAAGACAAACCACUCAAAGCUCUUUGAGCAGCUCUCCCAAUCCUCGGGAUCAACAAAACCAGGCCCAAAGUCACUCGAGUAACACCACUAAGGCCCAAGAACAAAGUAAUAUUAACCCAUUCACUAUUGAGAAUCUAAUACCAAAUCCAAACCUAAAUCAACAAUUGAAUACUGAUAUGACCCCAAGAGUUAAUGAGAUUGGGCAAUUAAAUAGUAAGGUCAUUCCUACUACAGGAAGUGGACCCUCCUCAGAGCCAAUUGUCUCUAACUCUCUUCCCUCAAUCCACUCUGUAGCUCUCCUAAAACUACAACCUCUGGUAGAGAGCAAUCAUUACAUUGCUAGUGGUGACUUGACACUCCUCAUCGUGUCAAGUAACUCUUCCCAUCUAAACACCCUAUCUAAGGGUAUGUUCAUGGAGGUGGAUCCAUCCACUUAUCUCCUCACCACCACCUAAACUCUUCAAUAUGGAAAAUCCGCAGAACACACCCCAGCAACAAAACCCCGAGCCCCUAAUCUUUGUAUCAACACCUCCACCACAUAACCACACACCAACAUCAUGGUUGAAGCUCCUCCUACAGGAUAAGUCAAUCAUUCUGAACAUGAUACUUGGCAACCAACCACUUGUGGUGGUUCUGCAGGACCCAUCUUUCCUUGCACAAGUCCUCAAAGAUGCCCUCAACUGCUCUUUGGAAAGGCUAGGGACCCAAGUAUGACUGCAAACCCUAUUACAUCUAGAUAUGAUAUCAACCACCCACCAAAUACCGUCCUAGGAACUGAACUCAAUCUUCAAUCAGGUGCUCCACAACCUACCUUUCUUUUCAAUGAAUGCACCCAACACAGAAAUUUCACAACCAACCUUUAUUCGUUGGCCAUUCCAGGGGAACCGGACCUAACCACCAUCACCGGUAGGGGAAGAAAACCCAGGAGAAUCAGGAAACUCAAUACUAGAGCUGGUAGAGAAGCUAAAGAAGUCCAACGCAUAACUGGAAACUAUAUUAGCUGCCUUUGGAGAACAAAAAAUAGAGACCUUCUUUUUAGAGAAAAUGAUAAUGCUAGAAUUUAAAGAGCUUACCAGCAAAGCUAUUAUAGCUUAUUGUCCAAUCAUGAUGAGGAGGUGCACACUGAAUCUGAGGAAUCAGAUGGACCAUAUCUCCUCAGUAGUAGCCCUAAAACCGCUGGGCUUGACCAUGGAUUCUACCCAAAGGGCAUUAGCCUUGACUCAGACCCCUCCAAAUAACCAGCUCUCUUCCCUCAUGAAUUUCAUUAUUUGGAAUGUAAGAGGAGCAAAUAGUGAUACCUUUAGGAGACAAUGUGAUACCUUGGUUAAGAUGCAUAAACCUGCAAUGUUAGUUCUGCUGGAAACCAGGAUGGCUGAACAUCACAGGCUCACCAAAGCUUUCAACUUUAACUCUCACAUCCAAUCUUCUGCUAAUGGUCAGUCCGGAGGUAUUAUCAUUAUGUGGAAAGAAAAUAUGUUGAAGCUUAAUAACAUUUCCAUCACACCCUAGGGCAUCCAUGUCAUGGUUAAGGUACUCUCUGACCCUUCUCAGUGGCUCUUCUUUGCUAUUUAUGCUAGUCCUAACUUUGCUACUAGGACUACCCUUUGGGACAAUCUCACCUCUAUAUCCCAGUCCUACCAGGGAGAAUGGUUCAUUGGAGGAGACUUCAAUGAAAUCCUCCAAGCUAGAGAUAAAGUAGGGGGAGAUCAAAUUAAUAAUAAAAAAUCUGAUCUUCUUAGAAGUUAUAUGAACCAGUGCAACAUGAUUGACCUAGGGUAUAGAGGCUGUAGAUAUACUUGGACCAACAAAAGGUACAAGGGUAAUAACAAUCUUAUCCUUGAAAGAUUAGACAGAUGUAUGGCUAACACCUCCUGGAUUAAGGCUUACCCUGAAGCCACUACCACCCACCUCCCCAGAAGUAAGUCUGACCACUGCCCCCUUAAAGUCCAGCUCCAGCAGCCUAUCAAUACUAAUAACAGACCCUUUAGACUAGAACCCAUGUGGUGCAUCCACCCUUUUUUUAGUGAACUCAUUCACCACUCCUUUGAACCCCCCAACACUUUGCUAAAAGCUACUGAUAACUUACAAAGGGAUGCCCUCCACUGGAAUAAGCAUAGUUUUGGUAAAAUCUUUCAUAAGCUCAAAAGAGUCCUAGCUAGGUUAGAUGGCAUUCAAAAAGCUAAUGGUUACUCUUCAAGCCCUUUUCUUCAGAAUUUAGAAGCUCAACUCCUUGUAGAGUACAACACCUACCUGAAUUAUAAGGAAGAAUUCUGGAGAACCAAGUCUAGAAUUAACUGGCUUGCUCAGGGAGAUGCAAACACCAAAUUCUUCCAUGCAUCUACCCUCAACAGAAGAAGGAAGAACAUAAUCAAUAGCCUCAAGGAUGAGGAAGGAAACUGCAUCCAAGAACCCCUGGGGAUCCAAACUAUCCUCACCACUUAAUUUUCCACUGUAUAUUCUACUGACCAUGUCAGCUCCCCUUACCCUCAGAAUCACUACCAAGCUGCUGGACCUAUCCUUAGCAAUGCCAUCUCCAAUUCACUAGCUAGCAAUCUUAGGGAUAGUGAGAUCAUCAGUGCCAUUAAAACCUUUAACCCCCAUAAGGCUCCUGGCUCGGAUGGUAUCCAUCCCCUUCUUUACCAAAAAUUCCAGAACAUUAUUGGUGAGAAGACUAUAGCUUUUUACAGAGAAGUCUUUAAUAAGCAAAACAUGCCUGAGCAAGCCAACUCGCUCUCUUCUGCCUCAUACCCAAAUUCACCAAUGCUGCUCUAGACAAAGAAUUUAUGCCCAUAGCUCUCUGUAACAAUGUCUACAAGUUGGUCACCAAGAUAAUUGUUAACAGAAUCAAGCCAAUCCUACCCUCUAUCAUUGGAUCUACCCAAGUUAUCUUCCUAUCCAAUAGGAAGGUUGCUGAUAACUCCAUCAUUGUGCAAGAAUUCAUCUCCUAUUUUAAUAAAAUAAGAGGGAGGACCCCUAGCAUGAUCCUAAAAAUUAAUCUAGGAAAAGCUUUCGAUAAGCUAGAAUGGUCCUAUAUUAGGGAUACCCUUAACUACUUCAAUUUCCCUGCUAGCCUAACCAGGAUUAUCAUGUCUUAUGUAACAGGCUCUUCCAUUUUCAUUCUCAUAAAUGGGGGGAAAACUGAAACCUUCAAAUCUUUAAGACGAAUAAGACAAGAGGAUUCUAUCUCCUCUUACUUCUUUAUCCUAUGCAUGGAAAGACUCUCAAGAGAUAUUGACAAUGUUGUCUCCUCAAGAUUAUGGAAUCCUAUCAAAGUCCCCAAUAGAGGACCUUCCAUAUCCCAUCUCUUCUUUGCUAACAACCUCACCCUGUUCUCUAAAGCAACCAAGGAAAAUUGUCAAACAAUUCAGCUGACCCUCCACAACUUUUGUAUUGUCUUUGGACAAAGAAUAAACUUUUCCAAGUCUAAAGAAAUUUUCUCCAAGAAUUUUUCUACUACUCAAGAUAAGGAAUGCAUUGACAUCCUCAACAUCUAAAAGAGCACCAACUUUGGCAAAUAUCUUGGAUUCCCCAUCUUUCACAAAAAAAUAACUCACUCUGACUUUCAGUUCAUUAUUGACAAUAUGAAUAACAAACUGAGUGGUUGGAAGACUGAGCUCCUAAACCAAGCUGGUAGAACUGUCCUUGCUAAGUCCUCCCUAGCCAGCAUUCCUUCCCAUGUUAUGCAGUACAUUAAGCUCCUUGUCAAAACAACUGAUCUAAUCAAUAGAAUCUAAAGGAACUUUGUUUGGGGCACUACUUUUGAUAAGAAAAAGCUUCACCUUGGGUAGGACAUCAUAACUAGAUCUAAGCAAGAUGGAGGGCUAGGCAUCCAGAGAAGUGAGAUAAAAAAUAGAGCCCUUUAUGUUAGCUUGGCCCGGAGAUUACAUUAAAACCCCCAAUCCCUCCGGGGAAAAAUUCUGCUGAAUAAGUAUAAAAACCCAACCAAAAAUAGUCUGGGGGCUAAAGUAAUCUCCAGAACUUGGCACUGCGUUAAGCAAGGUUGGAAGGAUGGCACUGCUGGCCAUAAGUGGAUCCUACACAAGGGGAAUACGAUUAAGUUCUAUGAGGAUAACUGGAUUCCUCAUCACCCUCCUCUCAGAUCCAUGCUCCUUGGCCCUACUAAACCUGAAGAGGAUCAGCUUACCCAAUCUGACAUCUACUCUAGCAGAACUUGGCAAUUCUAAAACUUAUCCUUUAUGAUCCCCCAGCAUAUCCAAGACAUUAUCCCCAGCAACCACAUCCUUCAUCAUAGUGUUUCUGAGGAUAAAAUGAUAUGGGGACUUACAAGUGAUGGUACUUUCAGCACCAACAGUGCCUACAAUCUUAUCAAUAGUUGUGCCCACCCUUGGGAUGCUAACAAUGAUACCUCUACUGACUUUAGGGAUAUUUGGAAAGCUAAAUGUCCAAAUAAGCUCAAAAACUUCAUGUGGCUACUAACUCAUAAAAGGCUCCCAACCAACAAGCAUCUCCACAGAAUAGGCAUGGACAUCAAGCCAAACUGCCGUUUCUGCAACUCCAAUGAGGAAGAUACUGACCAUAUCUUCUUCAAAUGCCAAAAUGCUUAUGCAUCCUGGAACGACAUAACUUUCCAUACCACCAUGUCCAUUGAAAUCACUUUUGUCACCUUUCAACAAAUGGAUUAAAUAGGGUACCAUUAUAGCUUUCUGUCUUUGGGAAAUUUGGUUAGUUAGAAACAGCAACUUGUUUAAUAAUGAGAAGAAAGCAAUAGAAACAGGAACUAUUCUUUCAAAUUCUUUAGAAUAUAAGCUUGUUGGCAAUACCCGACCCAAAUUAUUCAAAUCUGUUGGAACCCACCCCUGCUGGGGUUCAUCAAACUCAAUACUGAUGCUUCUGUUAAGCAGAACCACAACAACGGGGGGCUAAGGGGUGUCAUCAGGGAUCAUAAAGGGGAGUGGAUUAUGGGAUUUAUGGAUUGUAUCAACAAUACUACUCCAAUUGCUGCGGAAUUACAUGCUUUAAGAGGACUCUAAAUUGUAGCUCACCUGGACAUUACUCGCAUUAACAUAGAAAUGGACUCACUUCAGGCCAUAACAGCAUUCACAAAUGGGCACCUACUCCUUAACAAUCUGGUUGAUGAUUGCAGGUCAUUACUGGAGAUGGUGGAAGCAGCUCCACCAGUGCAUGUGUAUAGGGAAGGGAACAAGGUAGCUGACUUACUCGCUAAAGAAGGAGGGAGACGACAGUUGCAAAGAAGCCCAAAUAUUUUGGUAGUCCCUCCGGUGUUUGUAUUAACAAUCAUAGAUGCAGACAAACUAGGAACUAGGUAUUGUAGGAAAAUUUCAUCUUGUAAGUUUGGUACUGCUGAUCCCAUUUUGGGACAAAACUCUUUUGAUGCUCAUGUGGGCAGGGAUGUAACCUAACUCAUCUUUUACUAAUAUAUGCUCCUGUGUUAACCAAAAAUAAAACUUUUCAGAGAAAAUAAUGUCUUUAUUGUUGCAUAAUUUAUUUUUAUAGGCUUAAAAGUUAUUUCGCACUUCUGAAAGAUUUGGCUAAACCGUAAUUUUUUUGAUACUUUUAGAAUUUAUAAAUCAAACAUGAAUUAUUUCUCACCAAAAUAUUUUUUUUCGAAAAGCAAUUCAAGAAUUUAAAAGCCUGAUCAAACAUCUUAGAAGUUGGAAAUCAAAAUAUCUUAUAACAUAUUUUGCAGCUCCAUUUUUACAAAUUUCAAAUAAAAUGCUCUCCCCUUUUUUUCAAUUAAUAAAUAAAGAAACAAAAAAUCAAACACUACUUAUUCCAUAUAUUACAAAUAAAGUAACACUCUGUUUGGACGGUGGUUUGUCGUGAUAUGGUAUAGUAUGGUAUGGUAUUGUACUGUAUAGUAUAGUAUAAUAUAAUGUUUGGAUGAAUUAUAUCGUUCACUGCUGUUUAAUAAUAAUUUUUUUUUGUUUGAUUUGAUGGUAUGGUAAUGUAUUGUUACAGAUAAAUUUACUAAAAUGCCCCUAAUUAUUAUAAAUUUUAAAUUUAUCAAUAAUUGUUGAUAAAAUAACUUUCUUUUCAUAAAUUUAUUACAAAUUAAUACCUGUAAAUAUAUUAAAUUGUUAAAUUCAUGAAACUUGUAACAAAAUUAAAACUUUACAUUCAUGAAAUAAUCAAGAACUAGAAAGGACAGAUCAAAAUGUCAGGGAAUUUAGAUUAUCGUGAAAUUCUGCUUGCACCACUAUUGUGAAAGUCUCGCCUUCUAGCAAACUCAUUAAUCGACGAGGACAUAUCAAAAUGUCAGAGAAUUUAAAUUAAUGUUCUUGUAAUUCCUUCGCUUUCAAUAUUACACUCUACAUUUACGUUACUUUUUUUUUUCUUUCGUGUUGAAAGAUUUUGUCCAGUGCAUUAUUAGAUAUUGCACAACAGAAUGUGGUGCGCAACAUGAAGAUUUUAGGGAUUCUUUGCUAAAUAUAGCUUUUUAAAGUCUUCUUUUUAAUUAAAUAGACCUCAAACUUUUUUUUAGAGAAAUGACUCACUUUAAAAAUUUUAAUUUAUUUGUGAUUUAAAAAUUAUUUACAAGAUUUAAAAGUUAUAAAUUAACCCACAAAUCACCAACUUACAGAAUUUAACCCCCCCUCCCCAACUAAAUCACAAAUUAGUCCAAAACCUGAUUUGCAAUGGACUUAUCUACUAUCGAUCCGACUGAUAUAUAGAUAAAUUGAUUAUUGAUCUGACCUAUAUAUGGACAAAUCAAUUAUUGGUCUGACCUAUAUAUAGACAAAUCGAUUUUCAAUCCAACAGAUUGAUUAUCAAUCCGAACGAUAUAUGAACAAAUUGCUUAUCAAUCCGAUUGAUAUGUGGACAGAUCGAUUAUUGAUCCGAUCGAUUACAUACAUAAACACUAACCUUUUUCUUGAAAAAAAUGGACUAAAAUUAAAAGAGAGUAGAAAACUUACAAAUUUGGGAGGAGACAGAACCUUUAGGAAUAAAAUACUAUCUGCAAAAAGGAUAAAGUUGAAGAAAUAAUGAGUUUUAGUAAGAAUGGAGGAGAAAACAAAGUUAGAGAGAGGGAAAAAAGUAAUUUGAAAUUGAAAAAAUGAAUUAGGGUUUUAUGUUUUAGUAUAUUUGUAAAUACCCCAUAGUUUUUAAUAUGUCAUUGUAGUCCAAUUCUUUCUUAAAGUUAGUUAUUUUUUUAUUUUGUUUUAAAAUGAGAAAAUAGAAGUAAGUUAUUUUGCUAAUUGAAAACUUGAAGAGGCUUAUUAGUCAAACUUUCUCAAGAUAUUAAAUCUGGGAAUUGGUAUGAAAUUUAUUUUGAAGAAUAUAGAGCUUGAUAAGAGAUGGGGGACAUAUUAUUCAUCAAUGUAGGGUAAAGGGAAAAAUAGGAUUAGACAAUAUUAUGUAAGGUUAUAAUUGAAAAAAAAAGAAGUAAUAAAACCAUGGGAUACCGCAAAUUGGGUUGAUUUUAUGGUUACCAAACCAUGAAAAGAUACCAUACCAUAUAUUUUAGAAAAUAAUCAAAAUAAACAUAAUUCUCUCGGUAACCAUACCAUGGGAGCCACCAUCCAAACAGGCACUAAAAAUAUAGUGAAACUUAGGGCCCGUUUGGGAUUGCUGUUACAAAACUACUUAUUUGAGAAAUACUUUUAUAAAAUGGCUUUUCAAAAAAGUGCUUUUAAAAAUAAUAAUUUGUGUUUGGCAAAUUCAUUCGAAAAGUGUUUUUGAUAAUCAAAUUAUGUUUGGAUAAUCUUUUUCAAGAAGUGAUUUUUGAGAUAAAUGAUCAAAAAGGACAUCUAUCAAUAGCCUUUAUUACUAAAAUCAAUUUAUAGAGAAAAAUUAUUUUAAAUAUCUAUGUUAAUAUUUUUAAUUAUUUUUUUUAUUUAAUUAAAAAGUACGUACUCUAAAAUUUUCAAUCAAUAGUUACAUACAUAAAUACAUUAAAAAAAUUAAAUGGUGAUAUAUUACUUAAAUAAUUUAAAUAUUACUUAAAACAUCAAAUAAAAAUGAAUACAAAAGUUAUUUCAUAAAUUAAAUCAUUAAAAGUUAGCAAACACUAUAUUCAUGCUUACAAAUAUCUAAAUGAGAUAAUAUUUGUUAUUUGUUAGCUUUUCUUUUGGAUAUGUUUUUACCAUUUCAAUUAUAAAACUAAGUAACCAAAUUCAUAUAUGUAUACUACCUGAUGACAAAUAUUUAAAAUAAAAUUCUAUCUAUUAUUUGUUAUCUUUUUUAAUAUAUUUUUACGGUGUCAAAAUUUACUACGAAUAAGCAGUCAUCAUAUUCAUAUAUAUAUAUAUAUACACACACACACACUAUAUAUAUAUGUAUACUACCUGAUGACAAAUAUUUAAAAUAAAAUUCUAUCUAUUAUUUGUUAUCUUUUUUAAUAUAUUUUUACGGUGUCAAAAUUUACUACGAAUAUGCAGUCAUCAUAUAUAUAUAUAAAUAUAUAUAUACAUACAUACUAUGUUUUAACAAAUAUGUCACUUUUAAAUUUAUAUGUGAUGUCAAAAUACAAUCUUGUAACGUGAUUCAUCUGUCAAUUGUUAUCAUUAAUAAUAAUAAAAUAAUUUAUAUAUUUUUUAGUCAUCAUCAUCAAUGAUAUUUUCAAAUUUAUUUUAAAAAAAUAACAAUAUAUAAAUCAUAAAGAAUUAUGACGUAAAUUUGAAAUGUAAAAUUUUAAAAAUCAAACGUUAAUCAAACUUGUAAGAUAUGUUAAUUAAUUAAUAAGGUAUAUAUAUGUGUGUGUGUGAUAGGGAUAUUUUUGUUAUAAAAAAAUAAUUUUCUACUUCUGCUUUUGCUUUUUUUGAGAAGCAGAAAUUUUCUAUUUCUAGAAAAAACUAUUUCUGCUUAUUUUUAAAAACACUUUUGCAAGUUUAUCAAACACUUUUUUUUAAAUAUUUUUUUUCUCAAAAUAAAUGCUUAUUUUGAGAAAUAAAUAAUCCCAAACUGGCUAUUAAUGCCAAACUCCAACUAAAAAUUAUUUCACUAAAGGAAAAAAAAAAACUGUACUUUUCGUGAAUUUCCUCCUCCGGCGCAAGCCCGACCCUGUGAAUAAGCAGCCACAUACCCCGCUUUAGAAUAGUUCAAAAUCAUAACUAACUCUCCAGACUCCACUUUCUACUAUUCGAUUAAGCAAAAAACCUUCACAUUUUCCCCACAUUUCUCCUUCUCACACACAUUUCCACUGAGAUUAAUUAGUUAAGCAGACAAGAGUAAAAUUAUGGCAGCAACAGCAAAAGCAGGAGCAGUAGGGCCUGGACGAUCAACUUCAGCGUACAGCGAAGUCCAACACAACCGUCUCAUUGUAUCGCUUCCUCUACCUUCUGUCCUCAAAUCUCCCUUCUCCGUUGUUGAUGGCCCUCCUAGUUCUGCCGCUGGAAAUCCAGGUUAAUCUCACUUUUUUCUGUGUUUCAUCCUUUUCAAUAAGGGGGUGGUUUGAUAGCUGGUUAGAAUUAUGGAGUCAUUAGUUAUAUAGUAUUAGUUAUGCAAGUAUUAGUUGUUCCAUAUUGUACUCCACAUAAGAUAAUAUACCAAUUCACUCAUAACUUAUACGAAGGGAAGCCUUGGAGUGUAAUCGGUAAAGGUGCUGCCAUGUUGACCAAGAGGUCACAGAUUCAAGCUAUAGAAACAACCAGAAAUGCAAGGUAAGGCUGCAUACGAUAAAUUCUUGUGGUUUGACCCUUCCUCCGGCCCUGCGCAUAUAGGAGAUUUAGUACACCGGGCUGCCUUUUUUUUUACUAAUAACUUAUACGUGUAUUACUUAUGCGAGUUCAUAAAUUGUAAACCAAAUGUCGUAUUAAUUUUAUACCUGAAUAACUUAUUUCCUGAUUGGCUAUCUAACAUUGUAUAACUUAUCCAUAAAUUAAUACAAGAAUAAAUUGUUUCUUUAUUAGCUGCCAAAUGACCCUUAUUUGUAUAUGACCAACUUCAACUUACGGAGAACAUGGUUUUGAAGGUUUGGAUAUCAAGGAUUAGGUUAGAAGGUUAGUAGGUAACCGAGUGUGGUCGCCACCCCUUAGGUGAGAGAGGCAGGGGGCUUGACCCAUAUCCUUUUCUCCUUAUUAUUAAUAUUUUUUACUUUUUACUAAUCAUGUGUAUAGUUUCUUAUUCUUCUAUGUGUUUCUACUAUUUGUAGCUUCAUUUUGUGUUGUCUCUUGAUAUUUUGUUGUCAUUUUUACUUUUUGCGAUCCUUUAAUGAAUCACUUCCCUUUUAAGCCUAGGGUCUAUCUGAAACAACCUCUGAUCUCUAGCUAGCUCCUAAGGGUAAAGUCUGCGUACAUCUCACCCUCCACUGACCCUUCCUGUAGGAUUACACUAAGUAUGUCGUUACUUCGGUGCUGACUUGCAUUAUGUUUAUAAGAGGAAAUAUUUAAUGUGACCAGUGUAAUUUAACUAAUUCCAACAUGUUACUAGAUGCUUUCUGCUGUUGAAUUUUAGUUAAUUGAUUAUGUUUCCUAUUACAAAGAUAUGUAGCAUUGAAUGUGCAAAGGAAUGGAAAUAAACUGACAUUCGCUUGAUGUGUAACACAAGCAUUAUCACUGACUUUGUAUUCUAGUCAUUUUUUUAUUUAUAGAUGUUAGAAGCAUUUAAUCAACAACAACAACAACAAACCCAGUGUAUUCCCACCUAGUGGGGUCUGGGGGGGUAAGAUGUACGCAGUUCAUACCUCUACCUCUGAUGAAGUAGAAAGGCUGUUUUCGAUAGACCCCUGGCUCAAGACACGAGAUACCACACAAACACAUAGUAAAACACAGAAGCAGAUUACAUAACAUAAAUACGGCACCCAUAAGUAAUAUAAAACAGAGGAAAGCAAAGGAAAGCACACAGAUUCGUAAUAAAACAUGGAACACGGAAUCAUAACAGGAAUAAAACCCCCACCAAGUAAUUCCCUACCCUAGCGACCCAAACUGGCCCUAAUCCUCUGCCGAAAUUCGCGCCCUCCAGACCUUCCUAUCUAGGGUCAUGUCCUCGGUGAGCUGUAACUGUUCCAUGUCCCGCCUAAUCACCUCACCCCAGUACUUCUUCGGCCUCCCCCUCCCCCGCCUAAAACCAUCCAACGCUAGCCUCUCACACCUACAGACCGGGGCCUCCAUGCCCCUCCUCUUCACGUGUCCGAACCAUCUCAAUCGUGCUUCCCGCAUCUUACACUCCACUGAAGUCACACCAACCUUCUCCCGGAUAGUCUCAUUCCGAACUCUAUCCCCUCGAGUCAGUCCACACAUCCAGCGCAACAUCCGCAUUUCUGCCACCUUCAUUCUUUGGGUGUGGGAGUUCUUAACUGGCCAACACUCCGCUCCAUACAGCAAGGCCGGACGGACUACCACCCUAUAGAAUUUACCUUUAAGCUUGGGCGGCACCUUCUUAUCACACAGCACCCCCGAUGCAAGUUUCCACUUCAUCCAUCCCGCCCCGAUACGGUGCGAGACAUCCUCGUCAAUCUCACCGUUACUCUGGAUCACGGACCCGAGGUACUUGAACUUAUCCCUUUUCUUUACCUCCUGCGCUUCUAGCCUCACCACUACCUCAUUCUCUCGCCUUACGUCAUUAAACUUACAUUCCACAUACUCUGUCUUGGUUCUGCUCACCCUGAACCCUUUAGACUCCAGAGUUUGCCUCCACAGCUCUAAUUUGUCGUUCACACCCCCUCGCGUCUCAUCUAUCAGGACUACAUCGUCUGCAAAAAGCAUACACCACGGCACCUCCCCUUGGAUACGCCGCGUUAACACAUCCAUUACUAGCGCAAACAAAAAGGGACUAAGAGUAGAUCCCUGAUGCAAUCCUGUCAGGACAGUGAAAUGCUCUGAGUCUCCUCCCGCCGUCCUCACCUGGGUUUUCGCUCCCUCAUACAUAUCCUUAAUUACUCUGCUAUAUGCCUGCGGUACUCCACUCACCUCCAAGCAUCUCCAAAGCACCUCCCUGGGGACUUUGUCGUACGCCUUUUCUAGGUCGAUGAACACCAUGUGCAAAUCCUUCUUCCUUUCCCUAUAUUGCUCCACCAACCGCCGUACCAGGUGAAUUGCCUCCGUCGUCGAGCGGCCGGGCAUAAAUCCGAACUGAUUUUCCGAGAUAGACACUAUCCGUCUCAGCCUCACCUCGACCACUCUCUCCCAGAUCUUCAUAGAGUGACUCAGUAACUUAAUCCCCCUAUAGUUAUUGCAACACUGAAUGUCCCCCUUAUUCUUAUAGAGGGGGAUCAUGGUACUCCACCUCCACGCCUCGGGCAUCUUUGCUGUCCUGAAAAUUUCAUUGAACAAUGCAGUCAACCACCUUACACCAGCCUCUCCAACGAACUUCCAAAACUCCACCGGUAUCUCAUCCGGCCCCGUCGCCCUACCCCUUCGCAUCCUGCGGACUGCCUGUCUAACCUCGUCUACCUUAAAACGUCUACAAUAGCUAAAAUCCCGACACUCCCCUGAGUGCUCCAGUUCCCCUAACACAAUAGCUCUGUCCCCCUCGUCAUUCAAGAGCCUAUGAAAGUACGACUGCCAUCUCUUCUUUAUGUGGCCGUCCUCCACCAACACUCUACCGUCCUCCCCCUUAAUGCACCGCACCUGAUCGAGGUCACGACCCUUCCUCUCCCUAGCCUUAGCGAGUCGGAACAACUUUUUCUCCCCUCCUUUCCCCUGUAACCCUGCAUACAAGCUCUCAAAAGCAGCCGUCUUAGCUGCCGUGACCGCUGACUUCGCCUCCUUCCUUGCUAGCUUGUACUCUUUCCUGUUUACCCGCUUCUCCUCUUCGUCCUUACUUUCCACCAACUUAGCAUACGACUCUUUCUUGGUCUCCACUUUCUUCCCCACCUCUUCAUUCCACCACCAAUCCCCCCGAUGAUGUCCGGCCCGGCCCCUAGAAACACCCAACACCUCCCUUGCAUUUUCCCUGAUGCACGCUGCCGCCCUGUCCCACAUAUUAUCCACGUCCCCCCUACACUCCCACACCCCCAUUCCCGCCAACCUCUCCCCUAUCUCCCACGCAUUCACUGGCGUCAAACCGCCCCACUUAAUUCUCGGUCUACACUCCUUACUCCUCCUCUUUUUAUUCUUCUUCAUACCCAAAUCCAUAACCAAGAGCCUAUGUUGGGUCGAAAGGUUCUCACUCGGGAUGACUUUACAAUCUUUACACAGCGCCCUAUCCCCUUUCCUAAGCAACAAGAAGUCAAUCUGGGUCCUGGCUACCGCGCUCCGAAAAGUGAUCAGGUGGUCGUCCUUCUUCGGGAAGCCCGAGUUCACCACCACCAGCCCAAACGCCCUCGCAAACUCCAAUAGGGUCGCCCCCUCUUCAUUUCUCUCCCCAAAACCAAAACCUCCAUGCACAUCCCCAAAGCCUCCCGGUAGCGCCCCGAUGUGCCCGUUGAAAUCCCCUGCUACCACAAUCUUCUCCGAACUGGGCACGCCUCUCACCACGUCCUCCAAGGCCUCCCAGAACCGCAUCUUCUCCUCCCCCUCCGAUCCCACAUGCGGCGCAUAGGCACUACACACGUUCAGGGUAAACCCCCGAAUGACCAACUUGAUAGUCAUCAACCUAUCGUUGAUCCUCUUCACCUCCACUACCUGACCUCUAAGCUCUUCAUCUACCAAGAUGCCAACUCCAUUCCUACGCCUGUCGCUCCCAGAGUACCACAGCUUGUAACCGUCCACAUCCCUAGCCUUAGACCCUACCCACUUGGUCUCUUGGACACACGCAAGGUUGAUCCUUCUCUUCCUAAGAAUCUUCACCAGCUCUAUGGACUUCCCCUGAAGGGUCCCUAUAUUCCAAGACCCAACCCUCAGCCUACCGUCGCUAUCCACGCGCCCCCCACUNNNNNNNNNNNNNNNNNNNNNNNNNNNNNNNNNNNNNNNNNNNNNNNNNNNNNNNNNNNNNNNNNNNNNNNNNNNNNNNNNNNNNNNNNNNNNNNNNNNNNNNNNNNNNNNNNNNNNNNNNNNNNNNNNNNNNNNNNNNNNNNNNNNNNNNNNNNNNNNNNNNNNNNNNNNNNNNNNNNNNNNNNNNNNNNNNNNNNNNNNNNNNNNNNNNNNNNNNNNNNNNNNNNNNNNNNNNNNNNNNNNNNNNNNNNNNNNNNNNNNNNNNNNNNNNNNNNNNNNNNNNNNNNNNNNNNNNNNNNNNNNNNNNNNNNNNNNNNNNNNNNNNNNNNNNNNNNNNNNNNNNNNNNNNNNNNNNNNNNNNNNNNNNNNNNNNNNNNNNNNNNNNNNNNNNNNNNNNNNNNNNNNNNNNNNNNNNNNNNNNNNNNNNNNNNNNNNNNNNNNNNNNNNNNNNNNNNNNNNNNNNNNNNNNNNNNNNNNNNNNNNNNNNNNNNNNNNNNNNNNNNNNNNNNNNNNNNNNNNNNNNNNNNNNNNNNNNNNNNNNNNNNNNNNNNNNNNNNNNNNNNNNNNNNNNNNNNNNNNNNNNNNNNNNNNNNNNNNNNNNNNNNNNNNNNNNNNNNNNNNNNNNNNNNNNNNNNNNNNNNNNNNNNNNNNNNNNNNNNNNNNNNNNNNNNNNNNNNNNNNNNNNNNNNNNNNNNNNNNNNNNNNNNNNNNNNNNNNNNNNNNNNNNNNNNNNNNNNNNNNNNNNNNNNNNNNNNNNNNNNNNNNNNNNNNNNNNNNNNNNNNNNNNNNNNNNNNNNNNNNNNNNNNNNNNNNNNNNNNNNNNNNNNNNNNNNNNNNNNNNNNNNNNNNNNNNNNNNNNNNNNNNNNNNNNNNNNNNNNNNNNNNNNNNNNNNNNNNNNNNNNNNNNNNNNNNNNNNNNNNNNNNNNNNNNNNNNGGAGAUCGGGCCGGAGGUCGGCGCCGGGGGCCGGAUCUGCGCAGACGGUCGAAUCAAGUUAAACAGUACCUUCAGAGAGAGAGAGAGAGAGAGAGAGACGUUUAGUUUAGUCGAGGUCAGUUAGCUAAACUCACUACUAAAAAUUUCCAAGAAUGCAUUUUUCCAAUUCCAAAACACAACAAACAAAUUUUUAGGUGUAAAAAGAGCUUUCACUUGUAUGAUGUCUUCAUCACAUAUGGAGCUUCCCCUCCAACCAUAGUCAAACAGAUUUACUUAGAUGUCGUUAAAACAACACUACUUAAAUAAUACUUCCUUCUAGCACUUAGAAAGGUCCAGCCCUAUUAGAUUUCUCAGCAGAAAAUAUUCAUACAUACUAAUUUUUUAAUAGAAUUUAAGAUACCUACAUGAACCAGAAAACUGCCCCAAUAUUUUAAGUCACAAAAAAACGAACUACUGCUGCUGGAAGCUCAUAGGCAUAACUUAGAAAACUUUUACAAUUUUUUUAUAACCCUUUUUACAUAAAAGGUUCCGCUCAUAGUUACAGAUGCGAUGACCACUUUUAAUAAGAUUAACUUUGGGUUCUUUUUAAACCAAAGACGCAUAUUCAGAAGAUUUCAAUUUAAGGUAGAAAACUGACAAUAAAUACAGAUAGAAUAGUCCUAUUUGCUAAUUCAAUAAAAUGUUCAGCACUGUAAUAAAGGCUAUCUCAGAAUGUAAAACAAAAGUUUAAAGCAUUUCAUACCUUUCUCAUUUUUUCUAAUACUGAGUCUUCAAAUUUCUGGUAUCCAGCACCUACAAGAUUACUCAAAAUUGGGUCCUCAGAUUCACCAUUUUUCUCAGCGCUAGAAAAUGGAGAUGGAGUUAGAGGUUGGAGGGGCACAACUAAGAGAGGAUUUGAUAGAUCCCCCAAGAUCUUUCCACAAGAAGCUUUAGCUGCAUCCUUAGAUGACUAGUAAAUAAUAGAUUAAUAAGGUCUCUAUCUUCUUAUACUUGGUACCAAAAUUUGGCCUAGCUAAUUUUGGACUACAUAAAAAUUAUCUAAAUGUUAUAUCUUAUAUACCAACUUAGGUUUUUACCUUAGUGAAUAGUUUUAUUAAUCGUGUGGUUUUCCAUGAGAUCGCCAUGAGUUCUUUGCCAAAUUAGGUAGAGUGGGGAAGAUUAGAACUAUUUUCAUCUUGAAUCUAGCACUGUCACAAGGUACUAUUCUUCAUAAAAGAAGUUUUGUCUGUUUCUUUUUAAUGAGUAUUUGUUACUCCAUUUGUCACAAGGAAACUAGAGGUUUAGAUAUUUAGUGUGUUAUAACCAGUUUGAAAAGGUUGAAGCUAUUAAUGACUAAUAAAUGAGGUAAAUCAAAUUUUCUUUCCUCAAAAUGUAGAUAGUUUUUUUAUAUAAACACAUCAGACAUGUUCAGUUUCCCAUCCCAUUAGCCCAAGAAAUAGAAAAUGCUUAAGUGUUCUAGUACAGACAAGGUUUUUCAUAUGCUUAGCUCAUAUUCAUGUUAGCAUUGAUAUUGUAGGUGAAAUUGCAAAGCUUUUCCCAAAUCUGUUUGGGCAGCCUUCCGUGUCAUUACGGCCAGGUACAUCUGGGGCUGCAUUGAAUCAUAAUCUUAAAAUUGGGGUUGUGUUGUCUGGAGGACAGGCCCCUGGUGGGCACAAUGUCAUAUCUGGAAUUUUUGGUGAGUGUUUCUCCAAUAGUUCUUACUUUAUGGUAUUUACCUUUUUGUAGUUCUGUGGAUAUGUAUAGCUAGGUAUUGGUACAUAAGCGUGUACCUCAGCAAUUAAUUGAUUAUUUUUCUUCUAGACUAUUUGCAGGAGAAAACGAAAGGCAGCACUCUCUAUGGAUUCAGGGGAGGUCCAGCAGGGAUAAUGAACUGUAAAUAUGUAGAGUUGACGGCGGAUUUUGUUUAUCCUUACAGAAAUCAAGUAAGAAAUUUCUUCAUCCUUGGGUGAAAGUUCAUAAAUAUGACCAAGAAAAUCCAAUCCCCCCUAAGGGCCAAGAGUCAUUUUCAUAACCAGAGUAAAAUUGAAAUGAAAUGGAUUUUUUACUUUCCAUCAUCUAGUUAAGAUACAUGGUCUUUGUUUGCUCAUGCUCCAAAAGAAUUUUCUAUAACAAAUUUUGCUUGUGGACUUUCGUGGAAAAAAAUAUUUUUCUAUCCGGAGUUUUUUGUGGCAAUAUGAUGGCACCUUAUUUAGCUUAUGAUGUGAGAACUUUACAACACUUCCUUUGGUAAUUAAACUUUUCAUUAAUCACCAAGUAAGGGCUUUGCAUUGCUUAGCGUAACAGGUCACAGCUAGCUAAGCUCAGGGAGAAUACACUCUUAUCGUCCUAUACAUCAGUGCUACCUGUCUAGAUCUAUCAUUUACAAACUUCAAAAAGAAUUCCUUCUUAGAAGAUGAGUUUCUGUUGUUUCAUAAUGCACCCUCAGCCCUCACACUGCAGAUGCAUACUCUUUCUCUUGCUAACUCCUUUCUUUCCUUCAAAAACCCGAUGGUUCCUUUCUCUCCAUAUGUCAUGUAUAUAUUCAGCAUAUGUCAGUUUGAGAAACUUUGCCUGUUGUGUUUUACCUCUGGUGCGACUGGUUAUCCAACCGAAGUAAUGCUGCCAUGAAUCAAUCAGAACUGGUUGAACUUUGCAACUUGAUUAAGUUAAAUCUACCUUCGGUUUAGUGUAUUAAUUGUUCUUAUUGUUUUCUCUCUUUGAUUUACUGUCCAAUUUUACUUUUGUAGGACGUGUCUCAUUGAUAAUUUUUUGACAGGGUGGCUUUGAUAUUAUCUGUAGUGGUAGAGACAAGAUAGAAACCGAUGAACAGGUUGUCUUUCUUUUAUUUCACAUUAAAAUAGGACUCACAUUCAAAUAGGACUAUCAAAUUCUGCACUUCUUCACUUAGCAGCAUCUUUUUAUUGCUUUUAUUUUUGCUACGUAAACUGUGUUUCAUUGUAAAAGAGUUUGCAUGAUGUUAUUAUUAUUAUUUCUUUUUUCAGUUUAAUCAAGCUGCAGAAACAGCUAAGAAACUUGACUUAGAUGGGAUUGUUGUGAUUGGUGGAGAUGAUUCAAACACAAAUGCUUGUCUUCUAGCCGAGAACUUCAGGCACGUAUUAUCAUUGAGAGAGUAUCGGUUAUCCCCUGAACUUGUCACGUUUUAUUCAUGGUAUACCUGAACUUUGAUUAGUCCUAAGUACCCCCGAACUUGUUCUUUUGUCAUAUCGCGUGACCCCUUUUUGCUGAUGUGGCAAAUGUUUGAGCGCGAUGGAGGUAUUUUUUUGCCAAAUCAGCAUUUUCAAUGACAAAAAAACGAAAAAAAAUCCAUUUUCCUUUAUUUUUUUCAAAAAGUUCAAUUAUCCCUAUUCUUCAUUACUUCCAAUCUAAAAAAAAAAAUUCAUCCUUUUAUUAAUUUUGUAAAACUCUAGUUUAUUAAUUAGUUUAUGAAAUAAAAAUUUCAUCCAUUUAUUAAUAUUGUAGAAAUUUUGUUUAUUAAUCUAAAAAAAAACAUUCGUUAAUUAAUUCAAUCUAAAAUUCCAAUUUUCAUUCCUAUGAAACUCAUUCAAUUUUGUAAUCUUAAUUAUAUAUAUCAUAUGAGUUAUUGUAACUAAAAAAAUAUACUAAAUAUCGAAGUAGAUAUUUUAAACAAUAUUAACAAAACAAAUACUAAACAAACCAAGACACAUACAUAUAAACAAAUACUAAAGAAACCAAGACACAUACUUAUAAUAAAUGUACUUAUAUUAGUUAUCGGUUUUUAAUCCCUAACGAUUUGAUUUUCAAUUUAACCGAUAAUAAAAUACUCAUAAAAUAGAAAUCGAAUUAAUAACCCAAUAUUUUGUUUACAAAAUCAGUAAAAAAUCGUUAACACAAUAACGCUAAGUCAAUAACACUUUUAUCGGUUCGAUUUUUAUACACCCCUAACUGAAAUUGUAAUUUCUUAAUCCAUUAAUUAUAAUAAGAAACGUAUUUGUGUAUGUGAGUCUCCUCAAAAUCCUAAUCGAAACACUACUCGAAAACUACUAUGAAACACUAACCGAAAAAGAUAAUUUCAUAUUAUGAAACACUAACCGAAAAAAAAUAAUUUCAUAUUUUUAACACACAAAAAAUUAUAAUUUUUUAGAUAAUAGCUUACUUAAUCGAUGUAAAUUAUACCUUUUACUAUUUUGGAGUAGAGAAAAAUUGAAAAAUAUAAUUUUCUUAGAGAAAAAUUGGAUAAUUAAGGGUAGAAAUGGGUUAUUUUUUAAUAUAGGAUACAUAUAAGGAAAGUUAAUGGUAUUAUCCACGUGGACAGCGACAUCAGCAUAUUUUUUCCAUGUGUACGCGCGUGUAUUACAUGCUAUGGACUGUGGGUCGAAAAGUGGGGCGCGAUGUACUAAAAAAAUAAGUUCGGGUACUUAGGACUAGUCAAAGUUCAGGUGUAUCAUGAAUAAAACGUGACAAGUUCAGGGGUAAUUGAUACUUCUCUCUAUUAUCAUUAUAUUGGACUGGCUCAUGGUAUUCAUCAUUGGCAUUCUUCUCAUGGAACUUUGUUUAUUUGGUGCGACUGAAGGGGUAAAGGUUUGAAAACACGGGUUAUUGGAUGCCCAAAGACAAUUGAUGGUGAUUUGAAAUGCAAAGAAGUUCCUACUAGUUUCGGAUUUGAUACUGCUUGCAAGGUAUUUGUUUUCCCUUUUGUCGUAUUUCCUAAAUCCUAGCUCCAUUUUACUUUACAUUGUUUCUAUAAAUAACAUCUAGUUAGCACUUCUUCUUGACCUUUAAUUUUUGUUACUUCUAGUAUGCGAUACAUUUUUGAAAUAGCGUUACUACAGAAGAAUUUUAUGCUGUCUCUAUCUUGUACUCAAAACUGUUAUGGAAGUAUUUCAUCCAAACUCUUGUUGCUUUCUUAGUUUUCUCAGUAAUGAAAUAUUGUCACCACAAAGUUGAUAACUUCGGUAGGUUAUUCCUAUCUGUGGAAUGGAUAGAUAGAGAUUAUGCAACUUCACAAUUUCGGUGCAGAUAUACGCAGAAAUGAUUGGAAAUGUCAUGAUAGAUGCUCGUUCAACAGGAAAAUACUAUCACUGUAAGUACAUAAUUGUGAACAACUUGGGAUACUAUAUUCAUGUAUAACUUCGAGGACUAGGACUUGUUUCUUCUAACUAAAUUUGUAAUUUUAACUCUUAGUACUAUUAUUUAUGUUCCUUUUAUUAAGAAAUUUCUGGUUUCUCUAGUUGUAAGGCUUAUGGGUCGUGCUGCAUCACACAUCACAUUGGAGUGUGCUCUACAGACCCAUCCGAACAUUACCAUCAUUGGCGAAGAGGUAAUUGUUUGCCAAGUCAUUGGCAUGGUUUUCAUGCAUGUAACAACAUAUUACACUAAAUAUGUGCCCAAAACUUGAUGAGAGAAUUAAGUAUUCUCCUAGAUUUCAUAACAAAUGUGCAGUUUUAUGAGAAUAACUGUUCUGUUGGAUGCAUCUAUUGUGAAUGAGCGCUUUAUUCGUACAUAUGUAAAAUACUGAAAACUAUAGCAUGUUUUCAGGAAGUAAAUUCUUUCAAGAGGCUAUCUGUAACGAUAUGUCGAAUCUGUGGCCUUAUUUUUCGCUUGCCUUACUUGCCUGAAGUUUGAAACUUCACAUUUGUCCUCCGACUUUGUAAAAAUCAGCUCCUUUAAGAUGAGCAUAAAAUCAUCAAAAGAUGCUGGUCUUAAUUAAUAGAGGAUAAACCCAGCUUCUAACAUAAUUUCCACGAUGCCUUUUUAAUGAUUCUUUUCUUUUCUUUUUUUAAGUAUUGUUCUUAUUUUUUUUUUCAUUUUUGCACACUUCUCUUGUUUCUUGAGAGGAGUUCAUGUUUGGAGUCCCCACUCGAGUAUAAUCUGAAAGAGCUAAUAAAUGAAAUUUGAAGAAAUGGGAAUUGGGUUUUAAUUAUUUUCGGAAGUUCAAUUUUAUUCAAUGAGUUUUUCUAAGUUUCUAUUGUAUACCAUGUCUAAGGAGAAGACUUUAAUUUCAUCACUUAAAUUACUAGGUAAGGACUUAAGUAAAUGUCAUUGAGAUGAAUGAUUGAUUGGAUUAAAAUUUCAUUUCAUUUCUUUCUUUUUCCUGAAAUUUUUUCUGUAAAGAGGAACAUAUACAUAUUAGAAUUGUCUUUAUAGGAACUGUUUUGUGAUUUUCCCUUAUAAUGACGAGGGUACUGUUUUGCUACAGGUUGCAGCCCAGAAGCAAACACUUAAAAGUGUUACAGAUUACAUUGUAGGAGUAAUUUGCAAACGAGCAACACUUGGUUAUAAUUAUGGGGUUAUACUAAUACCCGAAGGCUUGAUUGACUUCAUUCCAGAGGUUUAAACUUUUAACUGUAGAAAUCAUGAUUUCCACUCUAUUUCUUGUUGUAUAACUUUUGAUCAUGCCUACCACCAUUUCACGCAGUUCUCCUUUCUGCUUGUUUGUCUGGUGCAUCUGAUUCGGUUGAUUCGUUUAUUAGCAUGAACAGAAAAACAAUUAGUUGUUGUUAAGAUUAUCUCUUUUAUUUGCAGGUGCAACAGUUGAUUGCAGAGCUCAAUGAAAUCCUGGCUCAUGAUGUUAUCGAUGAAGCUGGCAGUUGGAAAAAGAAACUUCGAAGCCAGUCUCAUGAGCUUUUUGAACUCUUACCACAAGCAAUUCAGGAGCAGUUACUUCUUGAAAGAGAUCCACAUGGAAAUGUCCAGGUACUCGCCUUCAGUUUGAUGGAAGUCAGGCAAAUAGGACACUUGCUCAUUUAAUCAAGUCAUACUAUGUUCUUUUUCUUCUAGUACAUUUUCUUUUGCAAUUUCUACAGGUUGCCAAAAUAGAAACUGAAAAAAUGCUUAUUCAAAUGGUGGAAGCUGAACUUGUAAAUAAGAGGAAGGAAGGUUCAUAUACCAAACAUUUUGGAGGGCAGUCUCAUUUUUUCGGGUAAUUGAUACCACUUGCAUUUGACUUGUGCAGUUCUGCUUUGAUAACCUAUAAUUGAUAGAGUACUUAGCACCUCAUUCUUAAGUCUAUCCUUAUUAUUGUUCUUACUUGGCCCUGUUUUCUUUGUAGCUACGAGGGUAGAUGUGGUUUGCCUUCAAAUUUUGACUCCAACUAUUGCUAUGCAUUGGGUUAUGGGGCUGGAGCACUUCUUCAGUCUGGAAAAACAGGCUUGAUUUCCUCUGUCUGUGUUUCCAUGCCUCCUUAUAUCUCCCCUCCUUUCUCCCUUCCUUUUACAUCACUAUUUUUAUGUUAUACAUCUGGACCUUUAAUUAAUUGCAAUUUAUACUGACACACUUGUCAUAUAUAGGUGGGAAAUUUGGGAGCUCCAGUUGAAGAGUGGACAGUUGGUGGAACAGCGCUAACAUCUUUGAUGGAUGUUGAAAGGAGACAUGGUAUCAACCUCCUUCCUCUCUUAUUCAUCAAAUAUGGAUUUAUGGUGUUUUCUCGCUAUUGCUAAGCAAAAGUCUUAUAACUGCGAAGUGCCUGAUUUUGUUCAGACUUUUGCUCUUCUGUUUAGAUAAAUUUAGCUGAUUACCUUAGUACUAAAAGAAACUAUCCAAAUUUGUCUGUUCUGAAGCAUUUAUUUAGUCAUUUCAAGCAUAUAUUCAGGCAAUUCUAGCCUAAGGACGAGUCUUAGCCUUCCAAUAUAUAUGGAAACCAUUUCCCUAAAC